AUAAGGCCAGCUACUGUUGAAUCAAGUGUUAACUCUAGUGGGAGAAUGUAAGUUCUAAUGAGAGCUGAACACUUGAUCAUCUUUAGUUUGGAGACGUGAGGAUUUAAGAGAUUGGAAUCAACUUAAGGUUGUAAGCUGAUAAGGAAUUUGUAUAAUAGGGGUUUCAGCUAAAACAGUCAUGAUAGUGUUGAAACACUUAUAAUGGAUGUGAAUGAUAGGUUUUCUCAGUGAUAAGGUUAGAUUGAUUAGGAUUGUAUAAUGGGAAGAGCCCUUAUCAAUCAUCAUCGUAUGCAGUAUAAAAAAGGGGUCCAUGCGCUCUCUCAAUCACGCAAACUAAAGAAUACUCAGAUCCCAUUCAUUGAGUGUGAGGAGAGCUGCAGAAGAUUCCUAGUUUCUAAGAGAUGUCUUCUUCAGGUUAGUGGUUACUUUUGGUACUGUGAUUAUUCUAUUCCGCUGACUUUAUUUAUAUUGAUCAUACAGUUGUUACCAGAGCUUUAUGUGGGCUAUACGUGGUACAGUUUUCGGUUCUGAUUUAUUAAAGUUGCAGCUGGUUGUUUCGCCUGGAUCACAGUUAGUUCUGUUAUUGCCAGAUCUAUUAUAGCAGAGGGCGACUUGGGCCAAAUAUAUUAAUGGUUUACUUCCAUUGUUGCUCUUCUUCUGGUAUUGUUGAUAGCAUCUGAUAUUGACGGAAUGUCCGCCGGUUUCGGACUCAAUUGCCUUUGUUAUCUGAUCGAUGGAGUACAAUUUGUACAACGACAUCUCGGGCUGAAGUGGUUGGGGUACAAUAUUAUCCUUCUGCAAGAUUUGAGCUAUAUCAAAAUCAUGGUACAUCGCUAGGGUCUUCCGGAAGUACUCGGUCUUCAGGAACACAUUGUCGGAGCACUUUCCGUGCUUAUCAUACUCUCGUUGCCAGAAUUCGACAGGCUUCCCUUUUCUCCAAUCCCACCACGAACUAAGUAGCGCCUUUUUCAGUGCAUCAUCCAUCUACAUAUAUUAUUUAAUUAAAACAUAAGAAGAAAACUAGUUAAGAAUACACGUACAUACACGGUACACAUGCAGGGAGAUAUAUAAUGAUACAUAUAUACAUACAUACACACACGUAGGGACGCACAUGCAUAUUAACUAUUGAGAGUUAAUUUGUGAAUAAUUACCUCAUUCACAUUAAAGGCAUCCCCCUUGCAGUCAAGGGAUGAAGAGGAUGAUUUAUUCGCAGGCCAGAGACCAUGAAUAGUGAACUGAAGAUGAGAUGGUUGCAUGAUGUGGCAUUUAUUCACCCCCCCCCCACCCUAUAGCUUGGCAUUCAGCAGCUGGCCAGAACUGAACAUGCAUAAAGUAUUGGAAUGGUGUGUAAGCGGAUGAAACUGUGACAAACAAGAAGAAAAAUAUGACUUGCACUAACUUCGACUCCAUUUCUAAUUCUACCUGAUGUUUUGAAGACAAAGUUGCAUGUAUUUAUAGUACCUAUGGGGUGGAGGUGGAGGUGGUGGAGGGGUUAAAAUGAAACCAUCGAAACAAAUGCGAAAUUGUUAAAAACUUAAUUAACAUUCCUACUCCCACUACAAAUGAAAAUCAAUACAAGUCUGAAAUUCAGUAUAUAACUUGUUACAUAUCACUAUCAAGUUUUCAAUUUAUAGGCAAAAGAAACUGCAUGCAUGUGUAGACAUGCUGUGAGAAAUUUGAAACCAACACAUGCUGUGAGAAAUUUGAAACCAACACAUGUUGUGAGAAAUUUGAAACCAACACAUGAUGUGAGAACUUUGAACUAACGCAGAUUAUUGUUUUGUUUCCAUUUCAAGAAGUCACCAACAAAUCACAUAUAUACAUUUUUCAAGUACUCCAUCACGACCAUUACACAUGCCACCAUCCCCCGUCUAAAUAAUAAAUUAAUUUCCAAUCAAGCCAAGGCUGCUCACGUGAGGAACCUUCAUUCGACCUGAAUGUCAUGAAUAUACAUCAAUAACAAACCCACUUAGUAUUAUGACUAUUUUUCCCUUUAUGGUAAAUAUGAAAUUAAAUUGAAGAAUUCCUAAUUAUAUACAAAUUAUUUACCUAUGAUAUUGAUGUUUAAAACACUUCUUUUUUUGUUGAAUUGUAUAGUCUAUAUCUAUGAAAAAUAUUUACUUAACAUAUUCAUCUAAUUACCUAUAAGAUAGAUAGCUAUGGAUAAAGAUACCAAGACAAUUAUAUACCUAAAGCAAAGAUAUAUAAACACGAUUAUGAGUUAUCACCAUAACAAGUUCUAAGACAUGUAGAAGCAAAAAGAAAAUAUACUACAUGUAGUUGUUGGCAUUUUUGAUUGGGUAUUUCAAUAUACAACCCCUCAUUGAUCAUGUUAAUAUCAUUCUUAAUGAUUUCUUCUAAUCUCAAUUUCAAUUUUGUUUGCAAACCAGAAACUAAUGCAUUAAAGCGGUUAUAUAUUGGGGCUAUAAAUUAGACUUUCUCCUUAAAUAUGCCAUCUUGAUUAACCCAUUAAUUGGGCAAUUAUAUAGGCUAACGUUUUCAGACCAUGCUUAAUCAUGUUUACUUUUCUCAUAUUCUAUGUAAAACCAACUCUUCAAGCCGUGAGGAUUAUGGUUGAUCCUUUUACCUAGAAUACUCCUAAAUUUGGUGGGCCGGAGAUCGAACCUCACAUCCCCAUCUUGGGAUCUAUCCAGAUGAUGAGUCGUGAGGAUGCCCUUAACAAGUUUAGAUUUGCUCCUAUGGAUGACAUCGUUGCUAAAGUUGAUCGGGUGAUUACUAAGAAUUACUAUCACCAGUGUGUUUCACUAUUGAUGGAUCAAAAGGUAUAUAUUUUGUCGAUCCCUUGUUAAUACAUAUUCAUUUUCUUGAUGUUUUGUUUUGUUUCCUUUUCAUCUUUCUCGUUUUGGUUUGAGCUUGAAUAGACUCACUUAUCAUUACACCUUCUUUUCUUAGUGAUGUGAAAAUAUAUAAGCACACAAAUUAAACCUUUUUUUGACAAUUGUAGUAUAUAUGUAAGUAGGGAUCGUUCUUAAACCGGAGAUUAGAAGGGAUUGCUAAAACACUUUAAACUGACUCAAAUAGAUAAAACUAAGCUUUAAAACACUUUACUAGACUUAAAAGACUCAAAACAAGUUCACAAGACUCAAAAUAAGCUAAAAACACUCAAAACUGCCUAAAAACACAAACUGGACAGUUUCUGACUCUAAACACAAUUUUGGACGAAAAUUAGUUUUAACUUGACUCAAAACACUUAAAAACACAAUCUAAAACAAAUCCUAACUAGUUAGACACUCUAAAGUAAAUGGGGAUUUGGUUUUGGACGAAAAUAAAGUAAACAAAACAAGAACUAAAACUAGGCAGAUUUGCACGAAUUUGGUGGAAUAAGAUGGAUGAUGGGCUAGCUAGGAGGUCUUUCUCCACACAUAACAUACUUGCAUACAAAACAAUUUCCAGUUGCUUUUUUAAUGAACCAUGAACCUCAACACCCCAAGUUAAUUAGGUACGCUUAAAUUAACCCUCAGAUUUUCCUUAAGUCAUUGAAUUGAAUGGAAUUGGCGCAUCGCAAUCAAAUUAUUCCUCAAAAGUUCCCUACAUGAAAGCGCAUAAUAGAGAAACAAUCAAAGAUUAUUAAGUUCUAUGAAAAUCAUAAGUGUUGACAAGGCAUUCGUAACUAUGAAAGCGCAUGAUACUUAUGCCAGGAAUUUACUUAACAUGAUUGUGACUAACAACCUUUACUACUUAUGAAUAUAAGUUCAUAACGAUUAGGUGAAACUCCCUUAUAUCCUAGCAUCAGAUUUAUGCAUGCAAAUUAAGUGUGCACUCUCAACUCACAUACAUAAACAAGUUUUAAUUCAAACAGAUAAGUAAAUUGAAUUCACAAUUCAUGAAAUCACAACUGGAUGUAAUCAAAUCGUAUUGCAAAUAUAGCCAUGGUUUCGAAAUUCCCCCUAGCUAAGAGGGGUUUAGUUCCUCAUACUCACAAAACAAAGAUUAUUGAAUUUAAACAUUGAAAACAAAAGAAAGAUUACACCUAAAACGUUCCAGCAACUCCAAUUAGAAUGGCAAGCACGUCCAAGGGCUCUCCUCCUUCUUCCUUGCUGUGGCAUAAGGUGUGGUUGGUGGUUUUAUUGGUGAUGGAUGGUGUAUUCUUGUGUAGGAUGAUGAAUGAUGGCUGAUGAGGGUGAAAGGUUGCGGCUGAAUGUGUAUGGAAUUGUAUGGAUCAAAUGAAUGAUGUAGAAUGGUGUCUAGGGUUGCGGCACAAGGGUUUCUGAAUGGUAGGGGGUGGUGACGAAUUUUGGCUGAAAAACUUAUAUUUAUAGGCUAGGGUUUUGUAGAAAAAGGCUUGGUCUAAUCCAAGGUGGAAAAGAACUAGGGUUUGUGGCAGAUUUUUAGGCUUCUAGAAAGAGAAUAGGCGCCACUUUUUUAGGCUUCUAGAAAGAACAUGUUUUGUGGCAGAAAUUGGGACUUCUAGAAGGGUUUGGGGCGCCACCUUUCUAGGGCUUCUAGAAAGGUAGAUGCAGCAUGUGUUUAAGGGAAGAUAUAGGCCUUCUAGAAGGGUUUUAGGUGCCCUUGCAGCUGAUUAUUCAUCUUCCAAGUCUUGAAUUGAUUUCUCCAUCUCUUUAGCACGUUCUUAGCUUCACUUGAUCUUCAAAAACAUCCGUUCCUUGUGCUCCACAUGCAUGCAAUCCAUUCCAGCCCAUAAUUGCUCUAAAAUGCUUCAAAAUGCACUUUCUUGCCAACUUUGCCAAUUAGACCUACAAACAAACGAAAAUAGCUUAAAUCACUACAAUAAACACAAAUUAACUAUGAAAAUGCAAGAAAACAAGCUAACUAAGUCGCAUAAAUAUGCUCCUAUCACUUAGUUAUUUGAAAAUGCCCAACGUUGGAGCUACCAUUUUGGUUUCUACAACAGUAAGUUGUUGUUUACAGUAACUUAAUUUCUUAAAGUGUUGAUGGGAAUGUACUUAUGUAAUUGGUCAGAUUCAGACUAGGUUCACUAGUUUGUGCCGAUUUCCUUUUUCGGGAAUGUGAAUCCUUUAAACCAGGAGGCCUGCCACGCUAUAGGGUAGGAGCAGGUGAUUGGCUAGCCGCCAAUGUACCUUGCCAUGUGGGAGGUGAGGCCACCCCACCCUCAAGGACGGAUCGGCCUUCCACAACGGUGUUACGGCAUACGAUCGAUACGUCCAUUCUUACAAGUACGUUUGCAGCGGGUAUAUGUGAUCCAAUCACCUUCGCUAGAUCAGUAAAAGCAUCCAACAUGGUUUGAGCAAUGCUCUGAAGAUCUAGAAUGCAUCUUACUUCAGUUUCAGACUGAGGCGUGCGGGGAUCUAAAUGAGACAUAGUGGGAGUAAUCCACGACAAUAAUUAUAACAUACGGGUUAAAAUUAUUUAAAAUGCCAAAAAUUAGCAUUGGAUCGAAAAAGGAUAGCCCAAAAAAUUGAGGCUUGGGUUCAGCUGCAAAUAGGCAGCCCACAGAUGGUUGCAGCCCACGGGUUUAGAGAAUUGGGUAAGUCCAGCAACCAAGGCUGCUGGCAUUGGGCCAAAGGGGCGCGCAUGGACAAGCCCAGUCGAAGCUGGCUUGUGGGUUAUCACAUGGAAGACCCAGCCGAAGCUGGAGCCUAGUCUUUGGGCCGGGGGAAGAAGCCCAGCCAUAUGGGCUGGCUGUUUGCUUGCGAGCCGGGCAAGAUCAAAGCCCAGCAAGCUACGGGCUGUGCUGAAAUAGGCUUGAGUGGGCCAGGGCUUCAGGCCCCUGUCAGGGGACAAGCCCAACAUGCUUAUGGCGUGCGGGUUUGGGCUGGAUUAGUUCGGGCUUCAGGACCAUGUAUCAUACAACCCAAGCUGAAGCUUGGUUGAGUCCAAGGGAUGCAACAAGCCCAGAGGGCUGCGUACAAGGUCCAAUGACACCAAAACGAUGUCGUCCCACAAUUUGUCGCCACACGGCUGGGCUACAGGCCAACACGGUGGUGCCGCAAUUUUCCCUUUUUCUUCUUUUUUUCUUCUUCGAAUAUCUAGGGUUAAAACCCUAAUUACUUCUAAAUUAAUUUUGAUUCUUUGACUCACAAUUCCACAUAGCAUAUAUGCGUAAUGCAUGAACAAUUAUAUAUAUUGACAAAAUAUAUGAACAUAUAUACGAUAUAUAUAAUUGGAAGGAAAAUAUAAAUAUAAGGGGUUCAUGCAUCAAGGUUUUUUUCAAAUAUCUUAAUUUAUUUUAGAAGAACCUGAUUGGGAGAAAACGAUUGAAAGCCCUUGAAUUUGUAGAAGAUAGACUCCUUCUACGAUCCUUCAUCCCUUAGCUUUUGGCAAGAGCGUGCUGAUAACGUGUUGUAGGCCUAUUUAACUGAGCUAUCUAAGGACUAAAGAGAGGGGGCCGGCAGCAACAAGAGAGAAAGAGAGAGAUUUAAUUAUGAGAUAUGUGUUGUAUCACCCCCUUAUGUCUUUAUUUAUAGUGGUAGGAUGGGUAGAGUCCUUACCUUUUUAGUAUUACAUCUCUUAAUAGGUGAUCAACUCCUAAUGGUAACUACAAGAUACUCCUAGAUAUACUAGGAUUUACAUAAUCACAUUCCUAAUCUGAUACAACUGCAACAAAUAUGAAGAAAAAAAAUGGUAUUAAUAUUGCGUGGCUUCCAUGCGUUCCUCACAAAUGGGAAAAAUAGAUGUAAAAAAAAUAAAUACACUAACCUAAAAGUUAGCUUACUCAUCAGUCUAAUAUGGAAUGUAAAUUGGGGGUAGCAAUGUACUCAAUAGGUUUAAAAUUGAAGAAAUAAAAUAUUAAACAAAUGCUUAUGGUUUUUGAUCUUUAAUCUAACUUUCUAUUGAGGGGAAACAACACAUGUGAAUAAAGCAAAUGUUAGUCAAUGGUGUUGGGUCUUUUUUCUAACUUUCUAUUGAGGGAAACAACAUAUGUGAUUAAAGCAAGUGAUUUAAUGAUUUAUAUCUUAGGGACUAGGCUAGUCUUACCAUAGUAUACUUUAAAUAAUAUCGUUAAUAAUACUAAUAUAGUAUGAGUGUAAUCGUGUAAUAAGACAAUCUUAAAUUCUUAAUAGAAAGCAUAGCUGACAGAUAAGAUGCAUAUAUACCUUCCACCAAAUGCAGAAAAAAAAAUAGAGAUACAAUGUAUUCAUAUCUCGAUACACUAAAAUGGACAUGAUUCAUAUCUAUUCCAUAAAGAAUGCAAAUAUUCCACAUUUUUCGAAUAACGUAUAUUCACAAUAUGACUUGGGCUAAAAUGAAGUCCUGUCUAAUUCACAUUCGCCAUGUGGACAUGACGUGACAAAAUAAAAUGAACCUGGGCUAAAAUCAAAUAACAUGACGCCCACAAAUAAUGAAUGAUAUCGAGCCAGCCCAACUGUAAGGUUAUGGGGUCAAAUAACACAAGUCUCACACUUGGUCAUAUCCAUCCAACCUAAAACAAUGUUCCAUCACAGUUGGAGGUUGUGGGUUUGAACAAUGCAACUCUCACACUUGGUCUAUAAUUUUACAAAAUUAAGGCGUUUUUUAAGAUGCAAACUUUGCGUGCGACCUUGCAUUAGAAACGCCCUUAGAAACGCCUACAAAAUUGAAGUUGAACUUGAAACAAAUCCCUCCCAGUUGCAUUGCACCAUUCACAGUCAUAAAGCAGAACAGAACGCCGGCCGGCACGGCCUCCAUCGAAUCCUUCUCCUGCGGGGGUCUCUUUCAUCUCUGGUAAUUUCUACAACAAUUAAUUAAAUCUUUAAUUAAUAAUCUAAAUCAGUUUCUAUGAUGAUUAUAUAUAUAUAUAUAUAUAUAUAUAUAUAUAUAUAUAUAUAUAUAUAUAUAUACGCGCACAACCCCAUGUAUAAUUGAACCUUGCUUCCAAAAAUUAAUCAAAGUUUUGAUCUAAAAUCUUAAUCGGUGUCCUGUAUAUGAUUUUUUUUUCUUCUUAGAAAUCUUAAUUAAAAAGUUUUAUAAUUUGUCGUGUAAGGGAGAGCGCGAGUAGUGUUGCAGCAGCAAAAUGAAAAUGGGACAAGAUAUGUUGGUGAAAAUCCUGCUAACUCUGCCCCCCAAAACUCUGAUGCGAUUCAAAUGUGUCUCUAAAUGGUGGUUUGCUCUCAUCAACAAUCCGGGUUUCGUGUCAAAGCACCUCUCCAACUCUGCAAACAACAAUCUCACCACUCUCCACGUCUUUUUGGCACGAUUAGUAGUGCAGCGGCAACAUGAGGAGGAGGAGGAGGAGGAGGAGAACCCCAAGUGUAACAGCACCACUAAGAAGGAGGAGACUCCAGAAGUAUUAUCAAUUCUUGGGUUUUGCAAAGACGACGAUAAUACUGAUGACGAGCAUAGCAAUAGCUGCUCUCUUGUUGGUGUCCAGGACAUCAUUAUUCCUCAAUCUUUUAUUCAAAAGAUCAGAGUCCCGGAACAACCAUUUUGUAUCCUAGGCCACUGCAAUGGCAUUGUUUUACUAUCUAGUGACAGUAGCCUAGUUUUAUGCAAUCCCGGACUUGGGGAAUUCAAUCGUAUUCCCGAUGAGCCAUGCCUUCCAUUGUGGCCCUUGGACCUGCCCGAUGAUCACGAUGGGCAAGAACAUAUGGAAACUGGUUUUCAUAUUGGAUUUGGCUAUGAUCCCGUGUCUAAUGAGUGCAAAGUUGUGACCUUUACUACUUAUUUUCAAGAGGUAGAUGAAGACUGCCGGACUUUUCUUAGUCGGCACAGAGCAGUAGUAUACACCACGGGUUGUGAUUUUUGGGAAGAGCUCAACACAGAUUCUUUAGAAACCGAAACUACUUUGUUUUGGCCUGAGUAUUUCCAGAUGCCCUUCAAGGGAAUGUGUUAUUGGCUGGGAUAUGAGCAAGAUAAGGAAUUAUUUCCAUUUGACGCAGUUGAGCAUCGAUUCCGUGCGAAUGGGGGAUUGAUCAUUUCCUUCGAUGCAAGUCGUGAGGUAUUUCACGGUAUACCCUUUCCAUCUGAGCUCCAACCGUUAAACCGGUCGGAUCACCUUUAUACGAAGCUUACUGUUUGGAAUGAAUCAGUUGCUUUUUUUGCCCUUGGUGUGAACGAUCGUCGAUAUCCUGAACCUUAUGAAAUGUGGGUGAUGGAUGAUGACUUUAAGGGUGCUUGGACAAAACACUUUACUAUUGAGGGCACAGAUGAUCAGAUACGUAGGUCUAGUCCUGUGGCGUUGUGGGGCGAUGAGUGUCUUAUGGUUGACAGUGAUGGGCACGUAGUUUUCUUUAAUCUUUGUACCAAAAAGCUUAAGCACACUCCCAUUGAAACAGUAGAUAAUAAUAUUGUUGUUUAUGUGAAUAGCAUAGUUUCGGUCAUGGGACGCAGCCACAAGCUUAAGAGCAUAGAGAAUACUUGCUCAGAUAAAGAUGAAGAUGCGAUGGUGGUGGUAGACGGGAAGAGGGAAAGCUGCCGGAGGUUGUACUCAUAUUCGAUUUGGGCCAUUCCACCGGCUGAUGUUUCUCGUAGAAUCAAGAAGCUGAUGGAGAGCCUCCAGGCAGAGUUUGGUGGGCCGGAGAUUGAACCUCACAUCCCCAUCUUGGGAUCUAUCCAGAUGAUGAGUCGGGAGGAUGCCCUUAACAAGUUUAGAUUUGCUCCUAUGGAUGACAUCGUUGCUAAAGUUGAUCGGGUGAUUACUAAGAAUUACUAUUACCAGUGUGUUUCACUAUUGAUGAAUCGAAAGGUAUAUAUUUUGUCGAUCCCUUGUUAAUACAUAUUCAUUUUCUUGAUGUUUUGUUUUGUUUUGUUUUGUUUCCUUUUCAUCUUUCUCGUUUUGGUUUGAGCUUGAAUAGACUCACUUAUCAUUACACCUUUUCUUAGUUAUUUGAAAAUGCCCAACGUUGGAGCUACCAUUUCGGUUUCUACAACAGUAAGUUGUUGUUUACAGUAACUUAAUUUCUUAAAGUGUUGACGGGAAUGUACGUAUGUAAUCUGCGUGUCUGAAAUAUUUGAUGCAGGUUCUAUGCCAUAUUUGAGUCUCCUCUACGGGAAGUUGACGGAAGAAGAAAGGAAAAAAGCUGGAGAAAUUGUUAAUAUUCUCGACGAGAGCAUUACUGGCUUAACCUUCCCCAUAACUCACUUUGCAUUGUAUGAAAUUGACAACGAUGACAUAUCUCUAAAAUCUUGGACCAAGAUUGCUGAAAUCGGUCGUUAGACAAGUUCUCCGGUUGCAUAUAUAUGCAUAGCACAUUAGCACUUGGCACUACAAAAAAUAUGGGCACUAGGGACUAAAUUAUUUGUGCCCUUUGAGGCCGAAGAGCACCAACAUAUGUGCUCAUAGAAAAACAGAAACAGUGCAGCAACAAUAAUUCUAUGUGUGACCUUUAUGAGUGUGUCCUUUGGUCGAAGGGCACAAUAUAGUUGUUUGUGUUAUUAAGGCAAAGCACAAUAGAGCCUUAUUUGUGACUUCAUUCUGACAGGUCUGACGACCCUUCUCAACUGAUUGGGCACGUCUGUGUAGUCGUGCCCUAUACCAAAUUUAUUUAAAAAGAAUUGAAUUUUUUUUUUCACAUGACUUACAUCCGGGUUCCUGCCCACUCACAUACUAAUUGUAUCGAUCUAUAAUUAAAAAAAACCUUAAACUGCAUCAGUUGAGAAGAAAAUUGAAAAAAAGAAAGAAAAAAAAAAACCUUAAACUCAAAUUCACGAAUUGGGUGAGGUAUUAAGAUUAGAAACAAUAUCUGAAGAGAAAAUAGAAUGAGUUUAACUAGGUAAUAUUAAGCGAAUGAAGUUGUCUAACAUUUUACAAGAUAACAGCAUCUAAAAUCUACCAAAAUUGAGGUCCUCCUAUCUCAACCUCCACAUGAAUAUCAUCAAGUAUUAGCGCCAAUAUAUUUCUCUGGACAACCUCCAUUGCCAUUUUUUCUGCUAGCAUUAUACACAUUAUUGGAAGAAGUAUGUCAACUAGGGUUAGGUUGCAUAUCCAUUGUACAAGUUGUUAACCUAGUCUUAGGGUGAUGUUUUGAUGUACCGUGUAGAAUGGCUGUUUUCUGCCAUCUUUUGCAUUGGUAUCACCAAUAGUUAGUCUCUUGUUGUCACUCCCCUUAAUUCAAGGGAUGUGUAUCUUGUUGAUUUUUAAUUUGUUUGUUAGCUUUAGGCGUAAAUCAAGGAGGGAUACGAGGUCUUGUUCCUACUGUUCACACAUAUAUAUUGGUUAGGUCUCUUGUACUUCUCUUUAUGAUGAAUAUACAACUUACAAAAUACAAUAUGGUAUCAGAGCAAUGAUCGUAACCGGCCUAUCUCUGUAUAUUUUCUUCAGAGUUUUGUGAGCUUAUUCUUUUUCUUCAAACAUGGCUGAAGAGAGCUCAGUGAAUUUAGAAGGUGACAGCUCCUAUGCUGCUCCAUCAUCACCUCGUUCAGAUGUUGAUAUCAACCCAAAUUAAUGCCUUAGUUAUGUCUUACUAAAUGAGUAUAACUACCUUCCCUGGUAGAAAGUAGUUACUCUUGUUAUGGGAGGACGAUCAAAGCUUGGUUAUGUCAAUGGUGUUAUCCCAAUGCCCGAGAUUACCUCACCAAAUUAUGAUGCUUGGCUAUGCAAAGACCAAUUGGUCAUGUCGUGGUUACUCAACUCCAUGGAUCGUAAGAUUGCAGAAAUUUUCAGCUAUGCUGAAUCCUCCAUGACUCUUUGGAAAAAUCUCAAAGUCAUGUACGAAAAUCAAAAUAAUGCGGCUCGUGUAUUUCAGUUGAAGAAGGAUAUUAUUGACUUGCAACAGGAAGGAAAGUCAUUUGUGCAACACCUUGGAAAGUUGACCACCAUGUGGAAUAAGUUGAAUGUGUAUCGGUCACACACCAUCGACACUGUUGUGUUAACUAAGAGAGUUGAGGAAGACAAAAUAUUCCAACUUCUAGCAAGCCUAAGUCCUGAAUUUGAAGAUCUUCGAAGCCAUAUUCUCAUGAAUCCCGACCUGCCUUCUUUCUCAAGUUUGGGUGCCAUGAUUCAAAGAGAAGAAGUUCGCAGGAAGGUCAUGAACUUGGAACUAAAGGCAAAUAUACGUGAAGUUAGGGCCUAUUUUUCUAACCCCAAACUUGGUGAGGAAAGUGGCUACAAAGGAAGGAAAUCUGGCUUAAAAUGUAGGCAUUAUGAUGCUGGUGGGCAUUCAAGAGACUGAUGUUGGAUUCUUUAUCCAGAGCUAAAGCCAAAGUUUCCUAGGGACAACAAGGGAUUCUCUAAGGGCUCACACAACCUUUCUUACAAGGCAAAUCAUGUUGCCACAACUUCUUCUGAGGGAGCACAGAAGUUCACCACUAAUCUGGCCGCACUGAUCAACGAAUUUGCUAUGUUCCUUCACAAGAAACAAGGUCAUGGAGAUAAUGAAGGACCAACAAAUCAGUGUGACAACAACCAAAUUGCCCUAUUAUGACAGUUUGAUGGCUUCCUGGCUGAAAAUGAAGGUGUGGUACAACGAGACAUCCCAAGUAUCCUACACUCCUUCUCAAUUGCUUUCAAAGUUGGUAAUGUGCAUGAUUAUUGGAUUAUAGAUUAUGGAGCCACUGAUUAUAUGACUAACAAGUCUAUAAACUUGCAUAAUUUUGAAAAACUUUCAACUCCAUCUCAAGUGUCAAUUGCCAAUGGCAAUGAUGCUAUGGUUGUAGGAAAAGGGAAAACACAUUUGAUCUCAAGUGAUGUCAAGUCUAAGGCUCUUUAUGUUCCAUCAUUCCCCUUUCAACUUUUAUCUGUUGGCAAGAUCACAAACUUAUUAAUUUUCUUGCUAUUUUCUCUCCAAAAAAUGUUAUUUUUUAGGAUCUAGUCACCAAGAAGACGAUUGUUGAAGGAUUUUUCUUAAAUGGUCUCUACUACAUUUCCAAGCAUAUUCAAGUUCCCAAGGUUUUUCAAGCCACUUCAAGCUUAGUUCAACAACAACAAUAACUUUGGCACUAACGACUAGCAUAUCCUUCUGAAAAAGUCUUAUCCACCUUGUUCCCAAACCUGUGCAAAAUUACAAGUCCUUGUGACGUCUGUCACUUCUCUAAGUUUACUAGAUUACCAUUUACUUCCUCUUUGUCUAGGGCUAGUAAUCCUUUUGAAAUCGUGCAUUCUGAUGUUUGGGGACCAAUUCUAGAGUCUUUUGAAAUAUUUUGUAACUUUUGUUGAUGAUUUCACAAAGAUCACUUGGUUGUACCUUUUGAAAUUUAAAAGUGAAGUGAUGAAUGUUUUUCAAGAUUUUCAUGUACUUGUGACCACACAAUUUGCUUCAAACAUUCAUGUUUUAUGAUCAAAUAAUGGCACUGAAUAUAUGUCCCAUAACAUGUCACAAUAUCUGAGCAUGCAUGGUGUAUUACACCAAACAAGUUGUGUUGGAAUACCCCAACAAAAUGGGGUAGCCGAGAGGAAGAAUAGAGAUCUACUUGAGAAGACUAGAGGUCUUAUGUUUCACAUGAAUGUGCCAAAGAAAUUUUGGUUCCAAGCAGUCCUCAUUGCAGCAUAUCUCAUCAAUAUAUUGCCUAAUAAAGUGUUGAAUUUUAAAUCACCUUAUGAGGUCUUGAAAGACAAAAAGAUCAACUUAUCUCAUUUGAAAGUCUUUGGGUGUACAUGCUUUGUUCACAUUCAAGCACAAAAUCGUGACAAGCUAGACCCAAGGACUGCCAAAUGUGUCUUUCUAGGUUACUCAUCCACCCAAAAAGGUUACAAGUGUUACAAUCCAACAACUAGAAAAAUGGUUGUUUCAAGGGAUGCUAAAUUUGACGAACAUGUUUCUUACUUCUCAUGACCAUUGGAUUACUCUAGAUAGGGAGAGCAUUUGCUAGAUUUAUUCCCAAUUCCAUAUCCAAAUGGAGAAGAUACAACAUGCAUUCCUAGUGAUCAUGUAUUGGAUGUUGCCAAUCGUUUGUGAAAUCCCGUUUCUGGAUUUCACUGUUAUAAUCUACGUAUUUGUAUUAUUGAGAUUUUAUAUUAUUUUUCAAGAAUUUAUUUUAAUUUGUUUGAAUUUAGAUUUUUUUAUUAAACUAGUUACGAAAAGAGAAGUUUGGAAAUUAUUUAUUUAAAACUCGUAGGCAUUUCGAGGUCACAAUUUAUAUCUUUGGAUAGAGCUCGAUAUCACGAACACGAAGACACAAACCGUUCGUGAAACAGAGCUAUAACAAAGAAAUUAGAGACAUUUUGGUAUUUAAAAGAAGAAAAAAAGGACUGGAUGCUGCCCGGUGGCAGCGAGAGAGAGAAGAAGAUGAGGUUGCGGGAGAGAAAAGGAGGGGAGGAGUGACCAAUGGGAGGGGGAGAAAGGAGGGAAAAUGAGAGACCCGAAAUGGGUCAUUUUUGACCCACGAACCACCAUUUUUGAUCCAGCCAUAUCUCCUUCAUUCGACUUCCGUUUUGGGUGAUCUUGGUGUCCAUGGAAAACUCUUGACGAGUCCUACAUCUCUGUAGUGUUAGAUUUCCAUUUUUAUUUUUCCAUUUUUAUAGGUUGAACCAUAAACUGUCAAGGGUUUUCCAACGAGUUUUCUCAUUCUACGGUGAUUCCGACAAUGAUUACCGUCGAUCGCCACCACCAAUAGACUCCCCUCAACCCCUGGAGCAAGUACCAAGCAUUGGAUGAGGCGUUGAAGUUCUUUUUGGUGAUGAAUCGAGGAACACCCAUUUCUAGGGUUUCCGGCGGGUUUGGAUGAAAUUGGGACACUUCCCGGCCGAAUGGGACUUGUCCACAGGUAUGAAAAUUUCUCCCCUAACUGAGAUCUAAUUGUUUAUAAAGUUUGGUAAUUUCCAAAAAUUGUUGAAUUUUCCGGCAAGUCGGGACAACCGAUCGCCACAGGCGGAAGCGUGUGCGGCGGCGCUCUGGCCAGUGGGCCGACGAUAUCAUUCUAAGUUCAAUUAGAUGUCCUGAAUUUGUAUUUGAUAUUCGUAUGACGUAGUUUGAUCAUUUGAACAUAAUUUCACUAUGACACAUUACUUGAUCAAAAUAUGAAUCGACGAUCCGACCGUUGGAUCGUCUCCAAACUUUCAUACAAAAUAGAACGUAAUAUUUGAGGAUAUUAGGAACUGAUGGAUCAGGAAUCCAACGUACGGAUCUUCCCGAAUUGGAUUUCUAAGUUUGUAAAACAAAUUGUUGAUCCCCACCUAAUUCUAGCAAUUGGCAGAUAUCCGACCGUCGGAUCGUGAUGAAAUUUUAAUUUGUUGUUCUAGAAGAAUAAUGUGUGUUUUAGGAAGUUACGGAUCUGAAAUCUUAUGUGAAAAUCUAUCGGAUCAAAUUACGUAGGGUUGUGGGCCCCACCGUUGAUAGAGAGUUGACUUUUGAUCAACAUGUCUCAAAUCGUUUAUAAAACUAAAAUUAGUAUUAAUAGAGGCAUAGUGAGACUAUGUGGGCUUAUCUCGGUGAGUGACUUUAAUAUAUGUGAUAUGGUGAUUACCUAAUUCUUUAUAUUAAUAUCCUUUGUAGAUAUGACUUGAUUUUAUAAAUGUGUUUUAUGCUAAAAUGUGAUUCUUUUAUAAUUGGCCAUCGAUCUAUUUUUAUUAAAUGUGAUUUGAUUCAUGGAUUGGUAAUAUUUGUGAAAAAGUGAUUCGAAUUGCAUAUCGAAAUAUUUGUUAAAUUGAGGGCUAGUAUGGGCUAUGACCCUACUUGGUUAAUCUGCGAUAGGGGGUCACUAGUGAUCCUGCUUGGUUAAUCCGUGGGGGACCAUAUUAUUUAUGGAUCGUGCUUGGUUAAUCCGCGAUAGGCGAUCCUUAUGACCAUGUAUACUUAUGAGUGAUCAUGAUUGGUUAAUCCAUGAUGGGUGAUCGUUGCCUAUGACCCUGCUUGGUUAAUCCGCAAUAAGGGACCAUGGUCCUGCUUGGUUAAUCCGCGAUAGGGGACCAUAUUUUCUAUGGAUCGUGCUUGGUUAAUCCGCGAUAGGCGAUCCUUACAUCUUUGAUAUGGUCAUACACACACACUUGGGGGUGAUCAUGCUUGGUUAAUCCGCGAUAGGUGAUCACAGUCUAACAGAUGCGUAGGAGUGACUCUGCUUAGUUAAUCCGCGAUAGGGGGUCACUACCUACGUGGUUACUGUAGGGGUGGUUCUACUUGGUUAAUCCACGAUAGGGGACCACUUCCUGGUUGGUUACUUAUGUACGCUUCUGCUGAACUGCGUCCCUCUAGCCCUAGUUUUUAAUGUACAUAUGAACAAUGGUUUUAAGAGUCUUGUGGGUUAAGUUAGAAAAACUGUUGGAUGUCUGGGUGACUCCUACUGAGUUUUCAACGACUUGAUUAUGAUUCCAUAAAACAUGAUUAUAUACUUGAUGUUCAUAGAUUGUGAUCGACGGUCUGUUUUAAUUGAAUAUCACAUACUUGUAUUAUUGUCACUCACCCGAGCUUUGCAGCUUAUUCGAGUGUCUGAUUUGCCCAGUGUGCCAUCUCCUUGAUGUAGGCAUGAUUGUACAUAUGACAGGUCUAGGUAGAUUACGAGAAGCAGCUUGGUAUUUUAGUUCCGUUGAGUGGUCCGGAACCCGAGAUUGUUAGAUUUCGUUGAGUGGUCUGGAAUCUUUGCUCUUGCUCAUUUCCAUAAGGUUAGUCUAGAACCCUAGGUUCGAUUGAAUGGGAAUAGAUGUUGUGAAUGUAAAUUAGAAUUACCAUGUUUAUUACUCAUAAUCCAAGUAGGGAAUUAUAUAGAGUUCUUUAGUUAAAUUCGUGAAAUGAUAAGUUAUCGGAUUGAUUGAUUAACAUAAAUAAAUGCUAAGAUCAUGCAUUUUUUAUUCAUGAAUUGAUUAAUUGACGGGGUUGCGGAAUGACUUUGGAUAUGGAUGUUAUUAUUAUGAUUAUUUUAGUUGAUCAAUGUGGCUUGAGAAGAAUAUUGUGCUUUGUCAUUGGUUCUUUGACAUAUUGCAUGGUAUGCAUUGUGGUAUAUUGUUGAGACAUAGCGAUUUAUGUGAUGGAUGUUCGAGUGUAGUGAAAUGACAAACUACGAAUGGCUUGAUCCCUAUUGAGGGUACGUAGGCAGUCUAACGGGAAGUUAGAUGCAGCCAUAAAGUGUACGAAAAAUUACUACGCAAUUCGAGGCUUGGGAUGUGCUUGGUACAUAUCCCGGAGGCGGGUAUGUUAGAUAUACGGUUAUUUGAUGAUGUCACGUGUCGAUCCUGGAUGUAUGUCAGGAUCGGGGCGUGACAUCGUUACUUGGUGCCACAUGAGCAGGAAACUCCUCCAUUAGAGACUCAACUUGCACCUUCCAAUGCUCUUUCCAACCAUGAUAUUAUUCAAUUGCCUGCAGCUCAAUCUCCUCCAGUUCGUCGCAAUCAUGCUCGUGAGAGGAAACUUUCAUCUAAGUUACAUGAUUAUGUGACCUGCAAUGCCAAGUACCCCUUGACUGAUGUUAUUGAUUAUAGCAAAGUCUCACUCUCUUUUGCUGCAUUCCUAAGUGCCAUUAAUGAAGCUCGCGAAUCACAAAGUUUUCAAGAAGCCAAUCUUCAUAGUGAGUGGAGAAUUGCCAUGGCAAAGGGACUUCAAGCUCUUCAUGAAAAUCACACAUGGACCAUAGUAAAACUUCCAAAGAAAAAAAGGCAGUGGGGAGCCGUUAGGUGUACAAGACUAAGUUUCAUUUAGAUGGCACGAUUGAAAGGCAUAAGGCUCGCUUGGUUGCUUGAGGAUUUACACAAACCUAUAAGGGUUGAUUACAAGGAGACUUUUGCUCUCGUAGCAAAAAUGAAUUUGUUAGGGUGUUGUUGUCAGUUGCAAUCAACAAUGUAUGGCCUCUCUUUCAAAUGGAUGUUAAAAUGCUUUUAUGCAUGGUGAACUUGAAGAAGAAGUUUACAUGAAGCUUCUCCCAGGUCAUUCUCAAUCAAAUAACCUAGAAAUGGCGUGCAAAUUUUAUAAAUCCAUCUAUGGUCUCAAGCAAAGCCCACGUGCAUGGUAUGCCAAGCUUAGUCAUGUUCUCGAAAUGGUUGGUUUUUGUCGAAGCACUGCGGAUUCUUCCUUAUUUGUUCGCUCUAGCUCAAUGGGUAAACUCAUUGUGCUAAUUUAUGUUGACGAUCUAAUUGUGACAGGCGAUAAUAUGUCAGAGAUCAAUGCUCUUAAACAGUAUCUCAACAACAAGUUUCAAUCAAAGAACUUGGCACUCUUAAAUACUUUCUAGGAAUCAAGAUGACACACUCUCACAAAGGCUUCUUCCUCAACCAACGCAAGUAUGUUAUUGAUCUUUUUCAUGAAGCAAAUAUGACAUAUUGCAAGCCUGCUCGCACACCCUUGGAUAGCAACUUGAAGCUGAAAACUCAUGGUGAUCCUAUUCCAAAUUUAAGCUACUAUCAAAUAAUGGUUGGCAAACUCAUUUAUCUGACUAUCACACGUCAUGAUAUAUCAUAUGCCGUAAGUUUUGUUAACCAAUUUAUGCACUCUCCAACAAUUGAUCAUUUGAAGAUUGUUCAUUGUGUGCUUCGUUAUCUCAAGGGUUCCGUUGGUAGAGGAAUUAUUAUGCGCAACAAUGGUCACACUCACAUCUCAAGCUAUACUGAUGCUUAUUGGGCGGGAAAUUCUCUCGAUCGUAAGUCUACCAUUGGCUUCUAUACGUUUGUGGGAGGCAACUUCGUUAACUGGAAAAGCAAGGAACAAAGUGUAGUUGCUUGCUCUAGCUCAGAGGCAGAGUAUCGUGCUAUGGCAUCGACCGUUUGUGAACUUAUUUUGCAUCGAAUCUUGUAUUCCAUGAACGAACCAAACACAUCGAGGUUGAUUGUCACUGCGUUCAAAAUCAAGUUCAUUCCUAGGUGAUCGAUACUCACUACACAUGCAGUCAUGAUCAACUAGCGGAUAUUUUCACAAAAGGAUUGACAUUCGCUGUUUUUCUGUGCUUUUUGUUCAAGCUUGGAUUAGUUAACCCCUUUGAUCCAGCUUGAGAGAGUAUUGGAAGAAGUAUGUCAACUAGGGUUAGGUUGUAUAUCCACUGUACAAGUUGUUAACCUAGUCUUAAGGUGAUGUUUUGAUGUACCGUGUAGAGUGGUUGUUUUAUGCCAUCUUGUGCAUUGGUAUCACCAAUAGUUAGUCUCUUGUUGUCAUUCCCCUUAAUUCAAGGGAUGUGUAUCUUGUUGAUUUUUACUUUGUUUGUUAGUUUUAGGUGUAAAUCAAGGAGGGAUAGAACGUCUUGUUCCUACUCUUCACACAUAUAUAUUGGUUAGGUCUCUUGUACUUUUCUUUAUGAUGAAUAUACAACUUACAAAAUACAAUACACAUAAUACGAGAGAGAGAGAGAGAGAGAGAGAGAGAGAGAGAGAGUGAGAAAUGAAGAGAGAAGUGAUGGUGGGUAAAUAAGAGAGAGUGGAGUGGUAAGUGAUUACCCGAACAUUACUAUAAACCAACAGUGCAUGAUGACCAAGUAAAAUAUAAUAACUACCAAGACCAUAACGCAGAGGGGUGCACACAAGGGUUGUCGCACGCAUGCAAAAUAUCCCAUCCAAACAACAACCAGUCAUCACCACAUGCAAUAUGUGUGACACAUUCGGAGAAACCGAAAACGACAUUCAAAUGCGAAAAUUGUGUAAGUCGAUGAAACUGUGACAAACAAGAAGAAAAAUAUGACUUGCACUAACUUGGACUCCAUUUCUAAUUCUACCUGAUGUUUUGAAGACGAAGUUGCAUGUAUUUAUAGUACCUACUAGCAAAAAUGCCCGCGCUCUGCUGCGGGUCUUGAAACCGUUGAAGAUGAUACUAUUGUUUAUUAGCUUUUUUCUCUUUGAAAUUUGGACUGGACACUUGAAUUUCAAAUGGGUUUUUUCUAUUUAUGUUUUGUACUGUGUUUCUUUGUUUGAUUAUACUUUGGGUUAUUGAUUUAGCUUUAUCCAACCUCUAGAGUCUAGAUGGUAGUGAUGAUUCGUUACUCGGAAGCUCUCAUUCCAUAUAUCUCCGCCAUAUUUAUAAAAUCAACAACAACAAAAAACAGAAAAGAAAAGAAAAUACUCCACCAAACAAAAAAUGCGAGACUUCUACGAUCCAAAAGGGCGGAUUUCUAAGUGAAAUGGUGGAAAACAAACACUAAUUUUCAAAGCCUUAACUAAUACAAAUUCGAAACACUUCAUUUUACUUGUUUUCAUUAUUCAAUUUAUAUCCUAAGAAUAAUUACUAAUAGUUCAAAUAUUAAACGUUCCGCAACCAAAAGUAUUGACACCUCAAAAGUUAUGGAAACUCUUAUUUCACUAACAAACACAACAAACCCAGAACACCAAAUUCAGUAUCCAUGCUACUCUCAUACUUUAUGAGCAUCCAAACAGAACCCAGAAUACCAAAUUCAAAACCCCUAAAAUCAGAAAAAUGGCCCCAAAAAAGCCCUUAAUAAACAUACCGAUUUGUUUUCUUUUAUUUUUAAAUCUAGAGUAAGAUAAAUUGCUUACCUACUGGUGGUGCGGCGUGAUAAAUUUACCACUCGAUCAUAAUAAGGGAAAACAAUUAAACCGUAAAAUUAAAAACAAUUAAACCCAGCAAAUUUUCUGUAAUUAAAAAAACACAGAAAACAGUUGGCAACAAAGAUUUAGAGUUAAUUUAUACCAUGGAGUGCCAACUGAUGGACAUAAACAGGAUGCAAAGCGAAAUUUGAAAACAACAAAAUAUUCCAAGAAAAAAAAAGGAACAAAGGUGGAUCAUAUAAGAAUCUUCUUUCUUUAAUCAUAUUGUAUUGCAUUAUUUCAAAAACUAUCUAAUUUCACCCAAAAAAAAUUACCUAGAUCAAAUAUUUCACAAAAAUUAACUCCAGAAGUUACCUUCCAAGAGAUGAGUUGGUAGCUUCUAUCUAUUCGACUUGCAGUGGGUCUGCAAAAAAAAUGUCCUUUAAUGACCCUAGAGGAAGACGGAGAAAAACCCAUCUCUUGAAUACCCUUUCAGCUAAAGCGGUUUCAUUGCAAAAAUCACAAAAUCAACACAAUUUCAACAUAAACUUGAAAUUAAGGAAAUGACUUAACACUAUAACGAUUCGAAAGCAUUGGAAUUUAAAUCACAAUUCUUACAAAUUCAGCUAGAUUAUGACUAUAAUUCGUCAGUAGCUCGACCCCCUCUUGCUCAUACAUGAAUAUCAUCUUUCGGAGGCCAUGGCUGCAACAAAAUAAAAGUACAAUUUUCAUUUCCCACUACCAACUGUGCGGCAGAUGCUCAUGAUCUGGGAAUGAUUCCUCCAGUCAUGUUUUUCUGCCAACAUAUUAAUUUUGCUCAAUGAUAAUGCCAUAAUUGGAAUAUAUUUUUUUUAUAGAAAUGAUGUAAUGGGUUAAUAUGAAAUUCCGAACUUUUGGUGAUGAUUGAACUCUUACAUGACUGCUACUGUACUUGUUCAAAUCAACAUAAUUUUAAACGUUCAGUUGAAAUCUUAUGAAAAUAGAGUAUGGAUUUAUAGCUAACCAAAAGACACAUUCACAGCGCCACAAUAUUUAACUACUAUACACAGUUUUUUUUUAAAAUGAGUAUAAGACUAACCUUUACAGAGCACCUAUGAAUCACUUCCAAAAUGAGAUACACAAAAUCUGAAACAGCACCUAUCCAAAGUUAAAAAACAAAACUAAUUAAAUAACAAUUAGGCAAGAACAACAAAAUGCGACAAACAAAAUGAAAACCAAAAUCAUAUAAGGGUUGAGAAUCUCUAAUUUAUUAGAAUUAGGGAUUCCAUUAAUACAACUAUGUCACUCUAGUACUAAAUUUUUUAUUUGGCCAAAAACAGAAAAAAAAAACUGAAAACACCAACUUAAAAAGAGUAUGCAAAUGAAAAACAUUUACACCCACACUUAUCAAUUUACACAUAACUUUCAAUUUGGAAUCAUUUGGGCUUCCAAAAUUUCAUCACCCAUAAAUUCAUAUAUAUUUCCAUUAAUUCUAUCUCUCUCUCUCUCAAAUUACAAAUCUCAAAAGGCUUCACAAAAAAGUUAGGGAAAGAAGCACACACUCGCAGGAAUAAUUCACUUUCCUUUCCAACUAUCUCUCUCUCUCUCCCUCUCUCUUCAACAUUACAAUUACACACAGAGAUCCCAUUCAAUCAAGACUCACCCCAAAAUUGAUAUCAAGCUCUGUUGCACAGAAUACCUUACAAUUGACAGCACGUUUACAAAGGUUUUGAAAGGCUUAGAUUCAACUUUCAAAUAUGUAAGACUCUAAGCUUCAAAACCAAAACAAACCCAAUUGCACUUUUAGUUCACUAACCCCAUUGAAUAAAAUCCAAUUCAAUAAAAUAACAGAAAAUUAAACAACCCAAAAAUCAAAACAACCCCACUUGUAGUUUUAGCUCACUAAUCCGUUGGAUAAAUUGAUGCAAAAUUCAAUCAGAACAACAACCCAGAAGAGCCAUCCAAAACCCCAACCAAUUAACCAAAAAAUGCCACUUGUACUUUUAGCUUAGUCUUCCGAUUGAAUCAGAUCUAUCAUCAAAUUUCAAUCAGAAAAUAGAAAAUUAAGAACAACCCAGUAUUUCCACUCACCUGCUGUGAAACUUGUCCCUGUUGAGCAGCAGUAGGAACGGGUAAACUGGGUGAUAUAUACAACUGAUUAAAACACUCAAGCUGCUUCAGCUACAUAACAGAAAAUGAAAAAAUGUUAGCACAACAGUAUAAAUGCAGGUAAAGGAGUCAAUAUAUGGAGCAACCAUCUUGCCCUCCCCCGACUGUUUGUCUCUUAAGCUAAAUUGCCAUCCAAAACAAAUAGAACAGACACUCACUUACCCUCUAUUUCUGUAAACGGAUCCUAUAACCGACAUCGAAGCUAAGCAUCUAAAACCCUCCUUAGAAGUUAGAAGUAAAAGUUCUCUACUUUAUGGAAGAAUUAAGCACCUCAAUGCCACUAAAACCAAAUCAUCCUAAUAAUUCACCCUUCAAUUUCAUGCCCGAACAAGAGAACGGAAAUUUAUCACCAUGUUCUUUAACUGAAAAAUAAAAAUUGGGGUAAGCCCAGUUCUCAUUUCUAGCAGAGUUCACUCCAUCUAAAUGCUCAUCCAACAAAAAAAAAAUUGAAAUUCCAGCUUCUUUGUUGCCUCCUAUAUUUUAUUAGCCUUCAAAAAGUCCUUAACUUGGAGCUUUAGAGCUUUGGCUAGGAUUUCAAAACGUGAGCUUGUGAGUGCAUGAGAGAGAGAGAGAGAGGGCAUACCUGACCAUGGGAGAGAACGGAGGCUAUAGAAAGAGCUAUGCUCGGCUUCUCGCCGACUUGCAAAAAUGUAAAAGCACAAACAGAAAGGAGAAUCAAAGACAAAAUUCCAAGAAAAAUUCCAAAAAUUCAAAAUUAUACGCGAGAGAGACACCUUGUUGAUAUUCGGAGUUAGACUCAGAGAGACGAAGCUCCGAGUUACAGAAAUGGAGGCCAGGUUUGUGGGGUUUUGGUUUUCAAAAGCAGGAGCCGACGCUAUUGCAGAGAUCGGCUAGAGUUGGUGUUGUUGCUGCUAGGGUUUGAGAAAGGGAAAUGAAGGCCAAAUGGGUGUGUUUCUGUCUCUCUCCCAUCCCUCUCAAUCUCUCAAUCACCGACACCAAACCUUGAUUUGAGGAGAAAAAAUCAACCCUAACCCCCUUUUUUGGCAGCCUCACUCCUCCCUGUCCCUUUCCCUCCCUGCCAUCCCACGCCUAUCUCCCUCUCCGUCUCUGAAGCCCAUGCCAUUCGAAAAUGGCAGAUAUGUAAAUAAUGCAAAAUCAAGGGCCCAUCUCACAACAAAACUGGCAAAACUGUAAAUAUCUUGAAAUCUGUUCAGAGACAAUAUUACACUCCUAAUUUUAUAUAAUUACCCUCCAACUCAGCCACAGAUAUGAUGGCAGUGGCAUAAAUAAAGCAAAAUCAAAGGGCAAAAGUUUGACUGUAGCUAGAAUAGAUAAUGGGGUGGAGGUUGAGGUGGAGGGGUUAAAAUAAUGAAAGGAAAACUAAUGAAAAAAGUUUGAAAAUUUUGAGUUUUAAUGAUAAGGACAAAAUAAAGGGUAAAGUGAAUAGUACCAGGUUUGACUUUUUAAUGUAAAAAUGUGGUUUUUCGUUAAAGUGAACAGUACCGUAGGCAUUUCGUUAAAACUCUCUAAAAUGAAACGAUCAAAACAGAUGCGAAAUUGGGAAAAACUUAAUUAACAUUCCUACUCCCACUACAAAUGAAAAUCAAUACAAGUCUGCAAUUCAGAAUGGACAAGGAUUCUCUGCACUCCCUUUUUCCAUGCCCUUCCAUGCCCUCCUGUUUGUGUGGUCACGGUUAAGCAACGUCAACAUUUUAUAUUACUAUUCAUUUUUGUCUUAUUAUUUUUAUAAAAAAAAAUAAUAUAAAAUGUUAACGUGGUUUAACCGUAACCACACAAAACAGGAGGGCAUGGAACGGCAUGGAAAAUAGGAGGGCAGACAAUCCUUGUCCAUUCAGAAUAUAACUCGUUACAUAUCACUGUCAAGUUUUCAAUUUAUAGGCAAAAGAAACUGCAUGCAUGUGUAUUGUGUAGAUCGUUUUGAAUUGAAGCCUUUUAUGCUUAUGGUUUUGGGUCUUUUAUCUAACUAUCUAUUGAGGGGAAGCGACACACGUGAACAAGCAAAUGCUAGUAAAUCGUUUUGGGCCUUUUAUCCAACUUUCUAUUGAGGGGAAACAACACAUGUGAUUUAAAUCCUAGGGCCUAGGCUAAUUUAUGAUAGUAUAUACUUUAAAUAAUUUCCUUGAUAUUAAUGGUAUAGGGUAGGUGUAAUCGUGUAAUAAGACAAUCUUAAAUUCUUAAUGGAAAGCGGGGCUGACAAAGAAGAUGCAUAUAACAUACGAGGCCCGCAAACAAAUAAUGAAUGAUAUUGAGUCGACCCAAAUUUGAGGUUGUGGGUUCGAACAAUGCAACUCUCACACUUUGUCGUCUAUCAUUUUAUAUAAAAUUAAGUCAACCCAAAUUUGAGGUUGUGAGAAGAUGCAUGUAACAUCAACACUUAUAUAAUUGAACCUUACUUUCGAAAAUUAAUCAAAGUUUUGGUCUAAAAUCUCAGUCAGUUUCAUGUAUACGAUUUUUUUUCUUCUUAUAAAUCUUAAUUAAAAAGUUAUCAUAAUUUGUUGUUUAUCGUUAGAGGGGGAGCACGAGUAGUGGUGCAGCAUCAAAAUGAAACUGGGACAAGAUAUGUUGGUGAAAAUCCUACUAACUCUGGAUCUCAAAACUCUGAUGCGAUUCAAAUGUGUCUCUAAAUUGUGGUAUGCUCUCUUCAACAAUCCAGGUUUCGUACUACAAAAUGGACUUAUUGUGUCACUGGGUGAUGUCGCUUUAAUAUAAUAUAGUGGCGGAUAAGACAUUUGCGAUACCUACUGAACUUGACGUCUGAUUUACUGUCGCUUGUAAGCGUCAUAAACUGUCUAUGUCGAUCAUCAUGACAUAAGUUUAAACUUUGCCAAUGGAACUCAAAGCUUGCAUGUUAUUCCUUUUACAAAAUCCUCAAUUUUCAUCGAUCAUCAUGACAUAAGAUUUUGUGGUAUCCACUUCUGUAAAUAUUUUAAAUUGACGAUCAAAUUAGUUCAUUGUAUUCAUAUAGGAUCAAGGAGUGUAGCUGUAAAAAAUCACCAAAAUCAGAGUUAAAAUAACCGUUUAAUCGUGAUUUUUCGUUUAUAACCGUCAAAAAGUUUUGUCUCCUUACUUGAUCUCUGAAUGUUUAUUUUUUGCAAUUUUUGGCGUAUGCGAUCUCGAAGCAUAUAUAAACAAGUUUGACGGUUGGAUCGUUGAAAUUAGUUUCGUAGAAUGCGUAUCCCAUCAAAAUGAUAGAUUCAUUAACACUUAAGUUUAUUUACUUUCAUUAAGUAUAACAUAAGAAUUUGUGGUAUCCACUAGUGUAAAUAUUUUAAAUUGAAGAUCGAUCUCAUUCAUUGUAUUCAUAUAGGGUCAAGGAGUGUAGCUGUAAAAAAUCAUCAAAAUCGGAGUUAAAAUCACCGUUAAAUCGUGAUUUUUCGUUUAUAACCGUCAAAAAGUUUUGUCCCGUUACUUGAUCUCUAAAUGUUUGUUUUUUGCGAUUUUUGGCGUAUGUGAUCUCGAAGCAUAUAUAAACAAAUGAUCCCCCUCCGGUGCCUUCUCUUUCUAGGGCUCAACCGACUGCUGAGACUUCUCCUAAGCAACCUUUAUGAAGGCUCCAUCUUGUUUGUUUAUUUUGACUCAUGUAUAUGUACAUAUUUGUAACUUAUCAGAGAUAUCAAUAAAUAAGCUUUGCUUCAUUUCAACGUAUUGUGUUAAAUACACCAAAGCCUUCUUCACUAAGUCUUUGAAUUUUUCUUUUAUUGAAGCUUGUAUGUUGAAGCUUUGUGAGUGGAGCAUGUAGGUUGAGGUAGUGUUCCUUUAAUUUUCCGAGUGAGGAAAACUUCUCGGUUGGAGACUUGAAAAAUCCAAGUCACUGAGUGGGGUCGGCUAUAUGAAUCUUAGAACGCCAUUGUGCUCGGUCCUGUGUCAUGUCCUCCGUUAGAUCCAAGUACUCUAAGUCUUUUCUUAGAGUCUCAUCCAAAGUUUUCCUAGGUCUUCCUCUACCCCUUCGGCCCUGAACCUCUGUCCCGUAGUUGCAUCUUCUAACCGGAGCGUCAGUAGGCCUUCUUUGCACAUGUCCAAACCACCGUAACCGAUUUUCUCUCAGUUUUCCUACAAUUUCGGCUACUCCUACUUUACCUCGGAUAUCCUCAUUCCUAAUCUUAUCCUUUCUCGUGUGCCCACACAUCCAAUGAAGCAUCCUCAUCUCCGCUACACCCAUUUUGUGUACGUGUUGAUGCUUCACCGCCCAACAUUCUGUGCCAUACAGCAUCGCCGGCCUUAUUGUCGUCCUAUAAAAUUUUCCCUUGAGCUUCAGUGGCAUACGGCGGUCACAUAACACGCCGGAUGCACUCUUCCACUUCAUCCAUCCAGCUUGUAUUCUAUGGUUGAGAUCUCCAUCUAAUUCUCCGUUCUUUUGCAAGAUAGAUCCUAGGUAGCGAAAACGGUCGCUCUUUGGUAUUUUCUGAUCUCCGAUCCUCACCCCUAACUCAUUUUGGCCUCCAUUUACACUGAACUUGCACUCCAUAUAUUCUGUCUUUGAUCGGCUUAGGCGAAGACCUUUAGAUUCCAACUCUCCAAAAGUUAAGCUUCGCAUUUACCCCUUCCUGAGUUUCAUCUAUCAACACUAUAUCGUCUGCGAAAAGCAUACACCAAGGAAUAUCAUCUUGAAUAUGUCCUGUCAUCCAUUACCAACGCAAAAAGGUAAGGACUUAAGGAUGAGCCUUGAUGUAAUCCUACAGUUAUGGGGAAGCUUUCGGUUUGUCCUUCAGGAGUUCUUACGGCAGUCUUUGCUCCUUCAUACAUAUCCUUUAUAGCUUGGAUAUAUGCUACUCGUACUCUUUUCUUCUCUAAAAUCCUCCAAAGAAUGUCUCUUGGGACCCUAUCAUACGCUUUUUCCAAAUCUAUAAAGACCAUGUGUAAAUCCUUUUUCCCAUCUCUAUAUCUUUCCAUCAAUCUUCGUAAGAGAUAGAUUGCCUCCAUGGUUGAGCGCCCUGGCAUGAACCCGAAUUGGUUGUCCGAAACCCGUGUCUCUUGCCUCAAUCUAUGCUCAAUGACUCUCUCCCAAAGCUUCAUUGUAUGACUCAUUAGUUCAUGCAAUUUUGUACGUCGCCCUUAUUCUUGUAGAUAGGCACCAAAGUGCUAUUUCGCCACUCAUUUGGCAUCUUCUUCGUUUUCAAAAUCCUAUUGAAAAUGUCAGUGAGCCAUGCUAUACCUGUCUCUCCCAAGACUUUCCACACUUCGAUCGGUAUAUCGUCUGGGCCCACUGUUUUUCUAUGCUUCAUCUUCUUCAAAGCUACAACCACUUCUUCCUUCCUGAUUCGACGAUAAUAUGAGUAGUUUCUACAUUCUUCUGAGUUACUCAACUCCCCUAAAGAAGUACUCCUUUCAUGUCCUUCAUUGAAAAGAUUAUGAAAAUAACCUCUCCAUCUGUCUUUAACCGCGUUCUCUGUAGCAAGAACAUUUCCAUCCUCAUCCUUGAUGCACCUCACUUGGUUUAGGUCCCUUGUCUUCUUUUCCCUUACUCUAGCUAGUUUAUAGAUAUCCAACUCUCCUUCUUUGGUAUCUAGUCGCUUAUACAUAUCGUCAUAAGCCGCUAACUUAGCUUCUCUCACAGCUUUCUUCGCCUCUUGCUUCGCUCUUCUAUACCUUUCAUCAUUUUCAUCGGUCCUAUCCUUGUAUAAGGCUUUACAACAUUCCUUCUUAGCCUUCACCUUUGUUUAUACCUCCUCAUUCCACCACUAAGAUUCCUUUUGGUGUGGAGCAAAGCCCUUGGACUCUCCUAAUACCUCUUUUGCUACUUUUCGGAUACAACUAGCCAUAGAAUCCCACAUUUGGCUAGCUUCCCCCUCUCUAUCCCACACACACUGGGUGAUUACUUUAUCUUUGAAAAUGGCUUGUUUUUCUCCUUUUAGAUUCCACCAUCUAGUCCUUGGGCACUUCCAAGUCUUGUUCUUUUUUCUCACUCUUUUCAUAUGUACAUCCAUCACCAACAAGCGAUGUUGAUUAGCCAAGCUCUCUCCCGGUAUAACUUUGCAAUCCUUACAAGUUCUACGAUCCCCUUUCCUCAUUAGAAGAAAAUCUAUUUGUGUUUUUGACGACCCACUCUUGUAGGUGAUCACAUGUUCUUCUCUCUUCUUAAAGAAAGUGUUGGCUAAGAAGAGAUCAUAUGCCAUUGCAAAAUCCAAGAUAGCUCCCCCAUCCUCGUUUCUCUCCCCAAAACCAUGGCCACCAUGAAAACCUCUAUAGUUGCCUGUCUCCCUGCCCACGUGUCCAUUUAAAUCUCCUCCUAUAAAUAACUUCUCCGUCUGAGCAAUUCCUUGCACCAAGUCUCCAAGGUCUUCCCAAAAUUUCUCCUUCGAACUGAUAUCCAACCCUACUUGAGGUGCGUACGCACUAAUCACAUUGAUGAGUUCUUGUCCUAUUAAAAUCUUAAUUGCCAUGAUUCUAUCUCCUACCCUCUUGACAUCUACAACAUCUUGUGUCAAGGAAUUGUCCACGAUGAUGCCAACACCGUUUCUCGUUCUAUUUGUGCCCGAAUACCAAAGUUUAAACCCUGAGUUUUCUAGAUCAUUUACCUUAAGACCAAACCACUUAGUUUCUUGUAGGCACAUAAUAUUUAUCCUUCUCCUCACCAUAACUUCCACUACUUCUAUAGAUUUUCCAGUUAAGGUUCCUAUAUUCCACGUUCCUAAUCGCAUUCUACUCUCUUAAACUCUACCCUUCUGUCCUAGCUUCUUCACCCUCCCUCGUCUAAUAGGAUCAAAGUACUUCUUUUGUGUGUCCUGUGUAAAGUUGAUAGGAGCAUAUGCUCCCAAACAACUUUGAGUGGAGUCGUUCGAAAAAAAGUUUCUAUGGCCCCCUUGCUCAUUUAACACUGCAUCCGGGUGUCGAUUGUUACAACCACCCCCAAAUAAUUACACCAUUUGUUAUUUCCACCCCCAACUGCCACGUGUCAAUCAUCAAACCUCCCAUCUUUUCCCUUUCUCUGUCCCAUCACCCCCGUGACCUUCUUCUUCUCUGUCCCUCUCAACUCCCCCGUAGCUCUCUCUCUCUCCCUCUCUCUCUCAGCUCUCCCGUACCUCUCUCCCUUAAACUCUCACAUAUCUCUCUUCCCGUGGACUCACUAGGACCGAGUCACCAUCGAAGAGAGGCUCGCAACGAGCCCAGGACCCUACCCUGUGAGUUCGACGACACGGAGCGAGCUUCGGCGAGCACCGCCCCUUUCGAGGCCAUUUCUGACCAAACCACGGCGAGUUGGCCGGCGUGUAAGGUAUUAAUCUCUUCGUCUCCCUGACUACUACAAUUUUCCUUUUUGUUUCACCCAAUUUCGUUGAGUAGUGACAAAGUUAUAGCCAUUUAAAGUUGGGUGGUUUUCCGGCCGAAUCUCCGGCCUUCUCUCUCGGCAAACCAAGGCCAGCCAGCCUUCCCAUUCCCUUCCCUCGGGCCUUAAGCCCAUUAAACCCCAACCCUUUUCUUUUCUUUUUAUUAGCUUAUUGUUUUUAAAACCCAAAAGGGCCUUGGGCCGGUGACAUUUAAAGGGCUUAAAGCCCAGCCUUUUAUUUUAUUGAGGCUUUAAGGCCUUUGUGACUUUGUACCCGUGUGUGUGUGUGUAUGUUUAGGUGUAUGUGUGUGUGUGCUUAUGCAUGCACAUGCAUGCCGUGUGUGUGUGUGUAUAUUUGUAGUGUGUGUGUUUGGGCUAAAGCCCAAACCCCAAUUCUCACCCUAAAAUCAUUUUAACCCAAAACCUUAGAAUUCCAAAACCCAUUAGAUCCUAAUCCUAUUUAACCUAAACCCUAAUCCGGAUUUCAAGUCUAAAACCCGUUUGACCUAGUUUGACUGUUGACCCCCGAUCAACGUUGACUUUAGGGUUGACUUUUCGGGUUUUCGUCCAAGACCUUUCCUAAGCUAAAUUCGACGUUCUGAAUCCAUUUGUGAUGUCCGUUUUCCCAAAUUCAAUCGUUUAAGUAGAGUUUGACUAAAUGUGCUCUUUAUGUGAUUAGGGGCAAUUAUAGUGGCGUUUCCGUCUUCGCUAGUGGCACAGCUUUUGGCAACUAAGUACUGUGAGUAGACCCCUUCUAAAAUUACAUGAUUUUAUAAUUUAAUUGCAUAAAUGAUUAGCAUGCCUACGAGUUUAUGACUUGAUUUAUGUGAAGCCUGUUUAUUAAAUAUAUUGAUUUUCGUCUCGUAUUUUUGGUAAGGAAUUAAUUGUUAGCCUAUAUUGAGCUAUAUUUUGAUAUAUUGUAUUUUCUAUAAAAACCAUGAAUUGGUAGACUAUCCGAUGGAUAACGAUAGGAUGCUAGAACAUGUUUUUGAAACCCCUCUUUAUAGUAUAGACGAUGGAUGACUUUAUACUAUGAAGUGGAUAUUUCGAGAGAUGCGUAACUAUUUGUGCGUGCCUAGUAGACACUAUGCCGCCUGGGGCAAGGAUCUGGUGUUGGCAAUUAGGCCGGGAGAAAUAAUCCCUAGCGAAAGGCAGAGGGACACGGUGACAGGCACUGGGCCGGGAGGGAGUUAUCUCUAGCUACGGGCACAUAGACUUAGGUGCAGGCAUUGGGCCGGGAGUUAUAUUUAUUCGGUGAUCUUUCUAGCAGCACACCGCGUUUAUGAGACGAUUUAUGAGACGUUUACUGUUUUGAUUUCCGCGAUGUUAUUCCGCGAUAUGACUUUUUGAGAUACUUUGGCAUGCUAGGGUUUUUAUUAAAUCCAUCACUUAUUAUGCUAGUAGUUUUCAUUAUUAAACUGUGGGGGUUAUUACUUUGAUAGCUGUUUUAUUAUUAUAUAUAUGAACUUGGUCCACUCACCUUUGUUUUGCGCCCCCAUUCAGGACUUAGAAUCAAGGCACAUAAUCUCGGCGUCAAGACACUUCCGCAGCAGCAUAUUUGAGUCCUCUCGAUGUAGGACCCACUUCUUUAUUCAUUCAAUUUUAUCUUAAUUCUUUUUAGUGAUUAGGUUAGUUGUAUGCUCUGAGCACGUUCCUAAAAUAAAUUAUUUCAUUGUAUUUUAAAUUCAUAACCCUUAUUUAUUUCUUAUUCUUAGCUUUUGUAUCAAUUAAUGGCUUUCGUCACCUUCGGGUGUCGGCCAACACGUGUCUAUCCUGGUAUUCGGGGAAUAUCAGGGUCGGGGCGUGUCACCGAUGGAGAUACAGCGACCCUUACUCACUUAUCACUGUGCUCGGGCCACACAGCGCGCCACUUACGGGUGACGCCCUAGCUUUAGCACAAUUUCGUUCUGAAUUCAUUUUCAUAAGGAUUCGACAUAACCGAGGAGUGCCGGCUGUCGACUACCUGACGCCCUCCCCCUCCUCCUUUAUCCGGGCUUGGGACCGGCAAUGUAAGAUAAACUUACACAGGCGGAGUUGCCACAGAAUCUGAGCAUGAACCAAAAAUCAUAAAAAUAAACAGAAGCAACAUAACAACAGCUUCUUGCUGUCAGAGAAACAUGGAAUGAAUAAACGGAGGAACAAACCCGUAUUUCAAUGUUAUGAGACUACUUCAGAACAGUAAACAUACAAUAUAGCAAACUGUCAAGUACCACGAAAGAGACAAAAAAUAGGAUCUCAUUCUUUCAAUUGUAUUUAAUUACGGAAAGGUCUAAUUAUGUCGUUGAUGCAUCCCUUCACCACUGUAAUGGUAACGACCGCAAUCUUUCAUAAUACGCAUCCCACCAUCUAGUCCUUGGGCACUUCCAAGUCUUGUUCUUUUUUCUCACUCUUUUGAUAUGUACAUCCAUCACCAACAAGCGAUGUUGAUUAGCCAAGAUCUCUCCCGGUAUAACUUUGCAAUCCUUACAAGUUCUACGAUCCCCUUUCCUCAUUAGAAGAAAAUCUAUUUGUGUUUUUUACGACCCACUCUUGUAGGUGAUCACAUGUUCUUCUCUCUUCUUAAAGAAAGUGUUGGCUAAGAAGAGAUCAUAUGCCAUUGCAAAAUCCAAGAUAGCUCCCCCAUCCUCGUUUCUCUCCCCAAAACCAUGGCCACCAUGAAAACCUCUAUAGUUGCCUGUCUCCCUGCCCACGUGUCCAUUUAAAUCUCCUCCUAUAAAUAACUUCUCCGUCUGAGCAAUUCCUUGCACCAAGUCUCCAAGGUCUUCCCAAAAUUUCUCCUUCGAACUGAUAUCCAACCCUACUUGAGGUGCGUACGCACUAAUCACAUUGAUGAGUUCUUGUCCUAUUAAAAUCUUAAUUGCCAUGAUUCUAUCUCCUACCCUCUUGACAUCUACAACAUCUUGUGUCAAGGAAUUGUCCACGAUGAUGCCAACACCGUUUCUCGUUCUAUUUGUGCCCGAAUACCAAAGUUUAAACCCUGAGUUUUCUAGAUCAUUUACCUUAAGACCAAACCACUUAGUUUCUUGUAGGCACAUAAUAUUUAUCUUUCUCCUCACCAUAACUUCCACUACUUCCAUAGAUUUUCCCGUUAAGGUUCCUAUAUUACACGUUCCUAAUCGCAUUCUACUCUCUUGAACUCUACCCUUCUGUCCUAACUUCUUCACCCUCCCCCGUCUAAUAGGAUCAAAGUACUCUUUUGUGUGUCCUGUGUAAAGUUGAUAGGAGCAUAUGCUCCCAAACAACUUUGAGUGGAGUCGUUCGAAAAGAAGUUUCUAUGGCCCCCUUGCUCAUUUAACACUGCAUCCGGGUGCCGAUAGAGAUACAGCGACCCUUACUCACUUUUCACUGUGCUCGGGCCACACAGCGCGCCACUUACGGGUGACGCCCUAGCUUUAGCGCAAUUUCGUUCUGGAUUCAUUUUCAUAAGGAUUCGACGUAACCAAGGAGUGCCGGCUGUCGACUACCUGACGCCCUCCCCCUCCUCCUUUAUCCGGGCUUGGGACCGGCAAUGUAAGAUAAACUUACACAGGCGGAGUUGUCACAGAAUCUGAGCAUGAACCAAAAAUCAUAUAAAUAAACAGAAGCAACAUAACAACAGCUUCUUGCAUUCAGAGAAACAUGGAAUGAAUAAACGGAGGAACAAACCCGUAUUUCAAUGUUACGAGACUACUUCAGAACAGUAAACAUACAAUAUAGCAAACUGUCAAGUACCACGAAAGAGACAAAAAAUAGGAUCUCAUUCUUUCAAUUGUAUUUAAUUACGGAAAGGUCUAAUUAUGUCGUUGAUGCAUCCCUUCACCACUGUAAUGGUAACGACCGCAAUCUUUCAUAAUACGCAUCCCAUCAUACAGAACCAGCUAAAUAUUAAGUCAAGAAGUUUCUACGUUUUGUGCAUGGCAGGAACAAAUUUCAUGGUCCAAACACCCUACUAUCCCAACAAUGAGAAACACAAACUAGCGAAAUGCACCAAUUAUAAAUAUAUUUUUGGACCGGAAGGAGAAUUCGAUUCUCAUUAGGCAAAACUAAACUAACUAAGAAACUGAAAUACGAAAACUUGUAAACCAAAAACACGAAAAGCGAAAAAAUAAUGAGCAAUAAUCCAAGAUUUAAUAUCUAAGCAUGCAUGUUAUGUAGAUUUAAUAUCUACAUAAAGCACCCCAUCUCGCAAGGCCAAGCUUAUUCAAUCACAACUGUUUGUUGGGAUUUUUUUUUACUUUUUUCUAUUUUUAUUUCUUGUGGGAAUCGCAUCAAACAUUUUAAAUAAAUAUAUUAGCCUUGAUAGAAAAACAGAGAGUGCUCCAAGGCACCAAAAUUUCUACCACUGCUCCACCCAUAAGCACUUAAGUAUACACAAAGAAAGAACCCACCACAUCUCCUCAAAUCUCCCUCUCAGAAACUUUUUCCAGCAUCACCCUAAUACAUUUAGAGCCACUCAAAUGAAAAGUUAAAACAAUUUUAGAAUUAAAACAAAAAAUCUCAUGACCUUUCCUUUGACAACUCUGAUAGUUUGAGUGUAUAAUGACGUAAAGACGUUGCAAGAAUGCCAUGCGCAAUUCUGUGUAUAUGUGAGCAGUGUAAUACUAUUUAUAUGUGUGUGUGUGUGUGUGAUAAUGGCACUGAUCGAACUUGCCCGACUGGAAUUGCAGCAACGCAUCCUGCGCAAAAGCUCGGGUCACGGACAUGACGGCUUCGUCCUCGGCAGCUGAAGCAGAACCGUGCCGAUUCGCAGCCGUUGAUGACGGAGACGAAGACGAAGACGAAGCCAUCGGCGAAUCGAUCAAUCAGAGCUAGGAACCAAUAAGCCUUAUCUGAAUACACAAAUCCCCAAGAAGAAAUGAUCCAAAACAACGAACCCUAGAGGGUAAAAGGUGCGUUUUGGGGAUUGAUAUGAAGUCGGAGUUGGGGGCUUUGGGGGUUUUCGAACCCUAAGGGCACGUUUGUUUGACAGGAUUAGCAAGGCUUGGACUGGACUAAACUAUAGUCCUGUGUUUGGUGUGCAACCGGAUUAGCUUUAAUGAGCUUAACCCGGACUCGCUUGGACUAAGGACCUCCUUAGGUGGUCUUCGCGAGCAACCCCAAAACCCAGCGGAUUCGUAAGCUAGAGCAAACCGAGAGAGUUUCUGCCUUCCCUUCGUCCUGUCUUCCCUUCGUCCCUUCGUCCUGUCUUCCCUUCGUCCUCAUCUCUACGUUCCCUCUCAUCUUCGUUGCCGUGCUCUCUCAUCUUCGUCCUCCUCACCCUCAUCUGAGCGUCUUCCUGUCUCUGCAUCUGCUUGCCUCAUCUGAGUUGUACGGUAAACUUUGAUUCUUCUAUUAAUUGCAUGUAUUUGUGUUGCAGAUGGUAAUUUUACUGAGUUUUAUGUGAUUUGAUUGUUUUGGGUUUGAUAAUUUUUGAAUCAUAGAGAUCUGCACUUGAAUAAAUUAGGGUUUUGAUAUUUAGGUGAAAUUGAAAUUAGGAUUUGGGCUUUUCAUAAGAUGAGAUGGAACUUGGGAAUUUAGGAUGUCAAUGUUGUAAAACUUGGAAGUCCUACCCACAUGUUGUUUUCGAUUUUUAAAAAUUGGGGUUUCAACAAUGGGAGUACUAUGUGUGUGUGUGUGUGUGUGUGUGUGUGUGUUUCUGUGUGUGUGUCUGUGUGUGUGUGUGUGUGUGUUUCUGUGUGUGUGUCUGUGUGUGUGUGUGUGUGUGUGUGUGUUUCUGUGUGUGUGUCUCUGUGUGUGUGUUUCUGUGUGUGUGUCUCUGUGAGUGUGUGAGUGAGUGUGUGUGUGUGUGAGUGUGUGUUUGUGUAUGUAAGUUCUCCGUGUGUGUGUGAGUGUGUACUGUGAGUGUGAGUGUGUGAGUGUGUGAGGGUGUGUGUGUGUGUUUGUGUACUCAUUAACGUGGGGGGGGGGGGUGUGUGUGUGUUUGUGUAUGUAAGUUCUCCGUGUGUGUGUGAGUGUGUGAGUGUGUACUGUGAGUGUGAGUGUGAGUGUGUGAGUGAGUGUGUGUGUGUGUGAGUGUAUGUUUGUGUGUGUUUGUGUAUGUAAGUUCUCCGUGUGUGUGUGAGUGUGUACUGUGAGUGUGAGUGUGUGAGGGUGUGUGUGUGUGUUUGUGUACUCAUUAACGUGGGGGGGUGUGUGUGUUUGUGUAUGUAAGUUCUCCGUGUGAGUGUGAGUGUGUGAGUGUGUACUGUGAGUGUGAGUGUGAGUGUGUGAGUGAGUGUGUGUGUGUGUGAGUGUAUGUUUGUGUGUGUUUGUGUAUGUAAGUUCUCCGUGUGUGUGUGAGUGUGUACUGUGAGUGUGAGUGUGUGAGGGUGUGUGUGUGUGUUUGUGUACUCAUUAACGUGGGGGGGGUGUGUGUGUGUAUUGUGUGUGUGUGUUUGUGUAUGUAAGUUCUCCGUGUGUGUGUGAGUGUGUGAGUGUGUACUGUGAGUGUGAGUGUGUGAGUGAGUGUGUGUGUGUGUGAGUGUGUGUUUGUGUGUGUUUGUGUAUGUAAGUUCUCCGUGUGUGUGUGAGUGUGUGAGUGUGUACUCUGUGUGUGUAAGUGUACUGUGUGUGUGUGUGUGUGUGUGUGUGUGUGUGUGUGUGUUUGUGUACUCAUUAACGUGGGGGGGGUGUGUGUGUGUGUUUGUGUACUCUGUGUGUGUGCAGUGUGUGUGUGUAUGCAAUAUGUAUGCAGUGUGUGUAUGCAGUGUAUUCAGUGUGUAUGCAGUGUGUGUGUGCAGUGUGUGUGUGCAGUGUGUAUGCAGUAUGUAUGCAGUAUGUAUGCAGUGUGUGUGUGUGCAGUGUGUAUGCAGUGUGUGUGUGUGCAGUGUGUAUGCAGUGUGUAUGCAGUGUAUACAGUAUGUAUGCAGUGUGUGUGCAGUGUAUGUAUGUAUGCAGUGUGUGUGUGUGUGUAUGCAGUGUAUGCAGUGUGUGUAUGUAUGUAUGCAGUGUGUGUGUGUGUGUAUGUAUGCAGUGUGUGUGUGUGUGUGUAUGUAUGCAGUGUGUGUGUGUGUAUGCAGUGUGUGUGUAUGCAGUAUGUAUGCAGUGUGUGUGUGUGUGCAGUGUGUGUGUGCAGUGUGUGUGUGCAGUGUGUAUGCAGUAUGUAUGCAGUAUGUAUGCAGUGUGUGUGUGUGCAGUGUGUAUGCAGUGUGUAUGCAGUGUAUGCAGUAUGUAUGCAGUGUGUGUGCAGUGUAUGUAUGUAUGCAGUGUGUGUGUGUGUGUAUGCAGUGUAUGCAGUGUGUGUGUGUGUGUGUGUAUGCAGUGUAUGCAGUGUGUGUAUGUAUGUAUGCAAUGUGUAUGUGUGUGUGUGUGCAGUGUGUGUGUGUGUGUAUGCAGUGUGUGUGCAAUGUGUGUGUAUGCAGUAUGUAUGCAGUGUGUGUAUGCAGUGUAUGCAGUGUAUGCAGUGGGAAGAGGAUGCAAAUGGUAACUGAAGCUUUAGUUCAAGGUACUACAGAUCAUACUGACAUAGCUAAUGAACUUGAAGCAAUGGGUCUCUCUCCUAUAGAUCAAAUUGAUGCAUUGUCUCUUAUUUUGGAUAAACCAAAAAAUGUGGGAGUGUUCAGGGCAAUCAAACCGGAACUCAAGAAAGUGUUCGUCCAAAGGCUUUUAAGCGACAACGCAAGUGGAUGAGGAUUUUGGCUAAUGUUAACAUGAAUGUAUUUUAUUAAUGUUAACAUGGAUGUAUUUUAUUAAUCAUACAAUCUUAUGUUAUGGCUUAUAACUUAGCUUUGCACUAGUAUUUUGGCUUAUGUUAACUAGCCCGUUUGUAAAUUAUGGAGAUCUAUUUUGGCUAAUGUUAACUAAUGUUAACUAGGAUUUUCUAAAUUAUGGAGAUCUUCUUAUGUACUUGUAUUUGUUGAAGUUGCAUGUAUUGGGCACUAUUAUUUUUCUUCUGUUGGGUGAUAGAGUUUAAACCAAGCUACAUUUGCAAAUUAAACCCAAUUCUAUUAGCAGGUAAUAGAAACAAAACAAUUGUCAAUUUUUUUUAAAAUUCAUAAUAUACAUGGCAAAAAUAUGCUCCAAUUAACCCAUAUCAUGAGAUUUGUAGCAUUACUCUAUUACACAAUGGCAAAAAUUUGUAGUCCUAGUCUAAGCAAACACAAAUCUGGUGAACAGUACUGUUUUUCUUAUCCUGCUUCUUAGUCCGACAUUACACCAAACGCUUCACUAAGUUAGUCCAGCUUAGUCCAGUCUAAGCCAGUCCAGCUUAGUCCCGGCAGCUAGUCCAGUCCGAGACAGUCCGGCGCAACAAACGCACCCUAAGAGGUUUGCAAGAGAGGACACCUGUUCGAGCGUCUUUUGCUCGAAUGUGCUGAUUUGCAGAGAUAGUGGGGAGAGAGAGAGAGUAGAAAAGGAUACGACCGAGAGGGAGAGAGAGAGAGUAGAAAAGGAUACGACUAAGAGAGAGAGGGAGAGCGAGCGAGCCAGCGAGCCAGCGAGAGCAGUUGUUUUGGGGCUUUCUUAGGUUGCUGGGUAUGGGAGUUUCGACAGGGGGUGUUUGCUGGGUGCACGCAACAAUUGGGCUUCUUUUCUGUGCUAAAUGGGCCAUGGACUGACAUUCUUUGUAAGGUGUGAUUAGAAUUUUGUGAUGAUCUUGCUGUGUUUCAUGUUUUGUUUGAUUUAGUAAAGGGGUGUGUUAAUUUAUGUCAUUUGGCAUUCUUUAAUUCAUUCGAUUCGACAACCACAAAUUAAGAAGUUGUGUAUCAAGGAAAAUGGGGUGUGCCUUUGUUAAUGGUGGGAGUUACGUUUUCAGAUUGUAUGAACAUUUGGAAAGCUGUUUUUGGACGCACCAGUGUGUGCUUUACAUAAUGAAAUAAUGAUAUUAACAUGCUAUUUUUAGAAUUAUAAUUAGACUUGUCAAGUGGGUACCAUGUUCAAUUUGGAACUGGAUCCUCUCCUGAGCUGAGGAUGAGGAUCCUCAUGAGCAGCCCAUCUGGGCCGUUCAAACUUGAUCCAACGACUAUAAUUAUUAUAACUUUUAGAGGGAUCCCCUGUUUAGAGUUGUUGGAUCAAAUUUCAUAGGCUCAGAUAGGCUGCUCAUGAGGAUCCCUAUCCUGAGCUCAGGAAAGAUCCAGUUUUGUUCAAUUUCACCCAUAAGGAAACCAAAAUUUAAUAUUAGUGUGGGCUCUAGUCUACAAAGUAAUCUUGUACCAUAAUUAAUAUAAUACAGAAAACAUAAGUAAUUCAGUUAUGUACAUAACAUAUGGCCAGCUCAAACAUUUGGGGCUCUACAUUUCUUUACACAGGAAACUGUCAAAGUAGAAGCUGAGAGUACUGAGACAGCCAAACUAUCCCUUUCUAAACAGCUCCAAGAUGCACUCUGCAUUCCGGAUAUCUUGGUUGUCUUGCGUAUCCUCGUUCCCCUGCGAAAAAUCCAUGCUUGUGAAAGUCUGGAUACCCGGGCCGUGACCGCUACAAUCCAUCUCCCUUCCUUGUUGUGCUCACCUUACUUCCUUCUGAUGCUCAGUUACUUCCAACCUUUUCCUUUUCAAACUCGAACAUGGAGGCAUUGCUUUGAGCUCACCGCCUAUCAUGUCCUCUUGCAGUUCUACUCUUUUUGAGCAUCUGUUAUGGGUGGCAUUGACCCUGUAUCUUGGUGGAGCGGUAGCGGAUCCCGGUCUAGAUUGACAUCUUUGACGUGGUGGGCUUCUCUUAUGGGGGCUUAUUAUUCCAUUUCUCCAGAGCUUGUCUAAGACAUGACGUAAGGUCUGGGGGGUAAUCCAACUCAGUUUGUUCGCCAUAUGUGGAAUUCCAGAAAGUGAUGGUUGGAUUUGAAAUGGACAGGUUUGGGUGAUCAAGAGUUUUUGCAAGGAUGGGUGCUUGGAGUUUGAGAAAUGCAGAGUCAAAGAUUAUUGGAGGCUAACUCCUCCUUAAACAAUUAAGCGUUUCUGCCCACAGGAGUUGAAAUUGAUCGCUGGUGUUCUCAUCUUGUGUUUCCAUGAGUACCAGCCACUAAAGCAGUGGAUCAAAUACUAUCUGCAAGUACAUGAACGCUUUAAACCAACAUUAACAAUAUUUUAGCUAUGCAUUUACACAAUGAACAAUCAGGAAACUUGAAAUAACAGAUGAAACGGCAAGAAAUUUCAGUAUCUCGAUCACCAACUCCGACAGAUAAGGACAACGCUCUCGCUUUCCUAUGAUGGUGUUGAGAGUGUGUAUGACAGUAUGAGUAUAUUCUGAAAAUGAUUGAUGUUACUGGAAAACUAAAAACACUAGAGGUACCCAUAUCUGAAACUUUCCUUGUGCAUGUUAUUAUGAAUUCACUCCCUGAUACAUAUACUCAACUCAAAGUGUCUUACAAUGCUUUACGUGAGAAAUGGGAUGUCAAUGAGUUAAUCUCCAUCUGUGUAAGUGAGAAGGUUAGGAUGAAAAAGGAGAAAAUGGACAAAGAAAAGGGUGAAAUGCUUAAUUUUGUUCAAAGCAACAAUAAGGAUGUCAAGGCAUCAAACUCGAAUGCCAUCAGGAAAGAUCAUAGUAGAAAUGUUCACUCGUCUUCCAAGGGGUUUUUUAAACCUAACAGACCUUUGGUUUUCAAAUGUUACUUUUGUAAAAAGGCCAGCCAUAUGAAGAGGAGUUGUCCUAAAUAUAAAGCAAGGCUUGCUAAACAAAAAGCUAAAAAGGCUAAAAAGGUUUUUGCUUGUUUUGAAAGUAAUUUGAUUGAUAUACCUAGUAGUGCUUGGUGGCUUGACUCUAGCUCUUCCGUUCAUGUUACGAACUUAUUACAGGACUUCAUAACAAGGAGAAUUCCAAAUAAAGAAGGUAUUCGUUGGCAAUGGGAGAAGGGUUGAAGUCAAGGCUCCAGGCACAGUUAGGCUUAAUUUGGAUUUUGGUUUUCAAUUAGAUUUGGAAAAUGUCGUUUAUUUACCUUUGAUGAGAAUGAAACUUGUUUCAAUUUCAAGAUUAGUUUUGUUAGGGUUUUAUUUUACUAUGAAUAAGUUUGGCUUCAAUAUUUUUUAUAAAUUCUUCCCAUAUUGGUACUGGAUUUUUGGUUGAUGGCAUGUUUCAGUUUUCACUUAAGAAUAAUCAAGUUAUAUUUAAUAUUGAGAGCAAAGAAACAAAAUCACUUUAGUCGUCGAACUUAUGGCAGAAAAGGCUUUUUCAUAUUUCAAAACCAAGGAUGGAACUCUUAGUGAAGUGAAAUCUUGCCUCCAUUAAAUUUUAAUGAUCUUGAUAUUUGUGUGGAGUGCAUCAAAGGAAAAUUCACUAAGUCUAGGAAGGAAGGUUCCACACUAAGCAAACAACUUUUGGAACUCAUUCAUAGGGACAGUGGAUGGCAGAAAGAAGAAAUAGUACACUUCUUGACAUGGUUCGAAGCAUGAUAAGCAAGGUAAAACUCCCAGAUACUGAAGAUAACGAGUUACAUUCUUAAUAGGGUUCAUAGCAAAACUGUGGAAAAGACUUCUUUCGAGUUAUAAACUGGGAGAAAGCCUAGUUUAAGACACAUUCAUGUCUGGGGUUGCCAAGCAGAGGCAAAGAUCUACAAUCCUAAUGGUAAGAAAUUAGAUUCCAAGACCAUCAGUUGUUACUUCGUGGGUUAUGCAGACAGAUCCAAGAGUUAAAGAUUUUAUUACCCUAAUUACAGCAUGAAAUUCGUUGAGACUGCAAGGGCAAUCUUCUUGGAACACACUAAAGGUAAUGAUGACUUUACUUCCAAUCCAAACAAGUUCGUGUUCGAGGAAGGAGAAGAUGCGGUUAUCGAGAAUGGGGUAGAGAUUGAAUAUUAUAAUAAAAUGACUAUCGUGGUUGAUAUUCCUAGGCAAAUGACUGAUAUUAAUGUUGAUGACAACCAUGAAGAUCAACUACACAAUAAUUAUGAAUAAGGUCAAAAUGUAGAGGUUCAAAAUGAGAUUGAAGUGCAUGCAAUUGUCACCAAUGAAGCAUAACCAAUCAUGCAGCAUGCACAACUAAUCAUACAACAAGCAUAAACAUUAAUGCAACAACCUACUAUUCCAUUGAGAAAAUCAACUAGGGUAAGAAAGUCUAACACUCUAGAAGAUUUUGUUUAUUUUGCUGAAAGUGAAUCACACUUGUCAGAAUUCGAAGACCCUAAUUCAUUCAAGGAAGCCAUGACUAGUGGCAACUCCGACAAGUGGAUUGAUGCAAUGAAAAAUGAAUUGAGUUAGAUGGAAAACAACAAUGUUUGGGAAUUAGUAGAACCAUUUCAGGGCAUCAAACCGAUAGGGUGUAAGUGGGUGUUUAAGACAAAAAGAGAUUCGAAAUGAAGCAUCGAAAGGCAUAAGGCGAGGCUAGUUACAAAGUGAUUUACUCAAAGAAGGGGUUGAUUAUAAAGAAACGUUCAGUCCGAUAUCGAUGAAGGAUGCAUUCAGAGUUAUUAUGAAAAUGGUGGUGCAUUUUGACUUGCUUUUACAUCAAAUGGAUGUAAAAACAGCCUUCUUAAAUGGUGUUUAGAAGAAGACAUAUACAUGGCUCAACCAUAGGGUUUUAUGGAGGAAGGGAAAGAACACUUAGUUUGUAAAUUGAAGAAAUCCAUGUAUGGAUUAAAGCAAACGUUUAUUGAAGAAAUCCAUUUAUGGCUCAACCAGUGGUACUUAAAAUUGUAAGAAUAAGGUUGAGAAUUAGACAGAAAAAUGACUUUGAGGCACGUUAAUACGUUUUCCUUAAAAUGAUAUUUGCCCCCACUCUAAUAUGAGUUUGCUAACGGGUCUAAAGCAAAUCACUUCCAGGAUACAACAAAGUUUGGAAUUUUAGUUUAGCAAGAACUGAAAUUCCCUUAAAAUCUUCUAAAAGGAAACUGUAUGAUUUUGAUGGAGAGAAAGAUGAUAAGAAACUAUUAUUUGAAUAAUUGUAUAUGGGAAUAUGCAGCCAACAUGGGCUAUAUAUAGAUUAUAUGGUGCCCGUUGAACUUAGUUCAAAGUGUGCAUAGAAAAGUCACUUCCUUUAACUAAAGUGUGUGAAGAUCAAAUAGAUCUUUCCAGCAUCCUUUCAUUCUUACCGAAUGAAUGAAAGCCUGCUGCCUUUUCAUAUAAGUGUCUUUCACCAAAAAAGGCGUAACAUUCUGAUUGAAUGAUCCAAGGGACAUAUCCCUUGUUGUGCUACGGAACUGCAGCCGUGCUUCUUCAAUCCAAGGGACACGACAUGGCACUGCAGCCAUGCUUCUUUAAUUUCAGAGACACGCCAAUUCAAAGGCACGGCCUGCAGCCAAAAGGCAUAUCACUGCCAGCCUUUCGCCCUUUAUCCCACUGUCAACACCAUAUAUAUAUAUAUAUAUAUAUAUAUUCAAUUCCAAGAGACAUGGCAUUGCAGCCAGUCUCUCACACAACAUCAUAUAUAUAUAUAUAUAUAUAUAUAUAUAUAUAUAUAUAUAUAUUAAUGAAAUACACCAACAAAAAUUUCAUCGAGUAAUAAGGGAGCAUGGUUUUUUUGAGAAUCCCUCUUAUGCAUGCAUUUACUUGAAAAUUCGUAGGAUCAACUUUAUUAUUUUGGUGUUCUACGUAGAUGUCAUUUUAUUGGCCACGAGCAGCAUGAGUCUCUUAGAUGACACCAAGUUUUUCAUGCAAAACCAUUUUGAAAUGAAGGAUUUGGGUGAGGCUGCAUAUGUUUUGGGUAUCGAGAUUAAAAGGGACAGGAAGUGAGGGUUACUAGGGUUGUCGCAGGAGGGAUUAAAAGAAAAAAUGUUGAAGAUAUUCAAUAUGUCAAUGUGUGGAACUACAGAAAUGCCGAUAUCCAAGGGAGACAAAUUGAGUAAAGAACAGUGUCCAACAAAUAACUUAGAGAAAGAAGCCAUGCAAGACAAGCCAUAUGCAUCACUAAUUGGGAGCCUAAUGUAUGCACAAGUUUGUACAAGGCCUGAUCUUGGGGAAAGUGAUUAUGUUUUAAGGACAUGACUCCCUUUAGUUCUUCAUAAAUGCUGGCAUAUGACAGAAACUGUUACUGGGAUUUUGUUGUUCCUAUUCUCAUGGCCAUUGAAGUAUGAUUUCUUAUAUGGUGGCAUGUGUGAAAACAAGUGUUGGCUCUAGUGGGAGAAUGUAAUCUAAUUAGAGCUACACACUUGGUUUAUCACGUGCUUAAAGGAUUGAAGUCAUAAGAGAUUGGGAUAGACUAGACUUGUAAAGCUAUCAGAGAAUGUUUUUUUAUCUAAUAUAAAGCUGAAAGUAAUCCUGGUAUCAAUAGGUUUAACUAUUAUGAUAUGAUAACUUUGGUUUGUGGUGAUAAGGAUAUUAGUUUAUACAAAUUGAUUAGGAUUACAUGAUGGGAAAUAACCUAAUCAAAUACCACCACUAAGGAUAUAUAAUAGAGGUCCCUGCAUUCACACUAAUUACGCAAAAGAGAGAGAGAGAACAAGCCUAUUGUUUGUUAAUUGCAUACAAUAGUGUUGAGUGUAAAUGAGCUCUAGUUUUUCUGCUGCAAUGGCUACACAAGGUUAGUGGUUAAUUGUAUUUGUGAUUUGCUUAUUUCCGCUAUUAACUAUAUUACAUGGAUUGUUGGGGUUAUCUUAAAAGGGUUACAUCGACAAGGUUUUAAAAAGAUUCAACAUGGCUUCUUGUGGCAUUACUGAAAUGCCAAUUUCAAAGGGUGACAAAUUAAGCAAAAAGCAGUGUCGCAAGAGUGAGUUGGAAAGAAGAAACAUGGAAGGCAAACCAUAUGCCUCUCUUGCUGGAAGCUUGAUGUAUGCACAAGUGUGCGUAAGACCUGAUCUUGCUUUCAGUAUCAGUGUUCUUGGAAGGUUCCAAUCUGACGCAGGGGUGGCUCACAUGAAUGUAGCCAAGAGGGUAUUGAGGUACCUUCAAAGAACCAAGGAACAUAUGCUUAUUUACAGGAAAACUGAUGAGCUUGUGUUAAAAGGGUAUAGUGAUUCAGAUUUUGCUGGAUGUCCAGAUGACCUUAAGUCUACUUCAGGUUAUAUUUUCACUAUGGCAUGUGGUGCAAUUUCGUGAAGAAGUGUGAAGCAGGCAACAGUGGCAGCCUCUACCAUGGUGGCUGAAUAUCUCUCAUGUUGUGAAAGUAUCAAUCAAGCUAUAUGGUUGAAAAUUUUCAUUGCAGGACUUAGUGCAGUGGAUUGUACUUCGAGACCAAUUCAAAUUUGUUGGGAUAAUAAUGCAGCUAUUUUCUUCAGCAAGAACAACAAAAGAUUAUUUGCAACAUGGAAUUUAGAUAUCAAAUAUUUGAUUGCUCGAGAGAAGGUUUGGUGAAGAUUGAUUACUAGGAGACCGGUUUUAUGGUUGUAGAUCCUUUAAACAAAGCAGUUCCAAUUGUGGUUUUCAAGAACUAUGUUGCAAACAUGGGACUGUUAGCUAGUUUUGAUGAUGUUAAUUAGGGGAACAAGUAAAUCUUCUAACGUGUUUUGUUGUUACUCACUAGUUCACAUGACUGGUAUUUAUGAAUAAGUAUUAAUAAAGUUUUCUUCAUUGAUAAGGUUUCCCCACUAAUGAAGUCUUAAAAGUUGUGUGGUUGUUUCGAAGUUUUCCCUCUAGAUGUACAACUUUAAUUAUGACAGUAUGCGUAUAUGUUAUUAUGCAAAUGGUUUUGACAAUAUUAUGAUGUUGGAAAUUUGAAUAGUUUGAGUAGAAAUUUCUUUGUCCCACAUUGGCCAUUCCCAAAAGAUUUUAUCACUUUAUAAGGUUUUGUCCUUUAUAGAAAGUGAUUGGAGUAAUAGGCCUGGAGAAUAAAAUUUGGCUCAUCCUUGGGGUUGGGCUUUGGGGUGCACUAAUUAAUUGGUAAUUAAUUAUAAUUAAUAUAUAAUUAAUUAUCAAAAGAUGGGCCUUGGGCCUUGGGGCUUGGGCUCUAAUAAUUAAAUUAUUUAAUUAAUUAUUUUCAUAUUUAAUUAAUUAUUUUUAAUUAAUUUUGAAUUUAAUUAAUUAUUUGUUUUUUUACCAACAGACUCAUCCUUUCAGAUGAAGUCUGAAGAGUUUAGAAAGAACACAGAACAAAGCACCCCUCUGGAGAAGAUGUCUCCCAACAGACACAUCACAUUCUCAUACCUGUUGCGAACAGGCAUCCUUCUAUUAUAUAUACAUCCAUUUGCAUGGCAUUUAAGACACAAAAAAAAUCAAUAUUCUUCUUCUACAAUCUCAAACAUCCUUUCUGAGAGAACCACACAGAAGUUCACCAGAGGUUAAGUUUUCCGGUGCUGGAAUCCUAACUUGAUCGUUGAAUCCUGGUGAAGCAGACGUCCGUAGAACUACAAGCACUGAGUAGGGACGAAUUUCUGUUUCAAGGAUAUUGUGGUACGCAAGCCUCGAUCUUCAAUCUUUCUAUUUUAAAUUAUUUCGUUGUUCAUACUCUGUUCAAUAUUUAUUCGUAUUUAUUAUUUAUUAGCAUAUAUAAAAUUAUCACAGAUUGUUGACAUAUAUCCAACAAUCUUGAAACAGAAAUUCGAUGGAUCAACAAUCUGUAAAUAUGAAUGGCGCUGUGCCAAAGUAAUCUGAAAAGCCUGAGAAGUUCAAAGGGCUGGACUUCAAGAGAUGGCAACAGAAAAUGUUGUUCUUCCUGACAACAAUGAAUCUCGCUCAUGUUGUCAAGGAAGAAGCUCCGAAGUCUAAUGAGAAUCCAAUGACAAAAGAAACUGUCAUGGCAAUCGAAGCUUGGAAUCAUUAUGAGUUUUGUUGCAGGAAUUAUAUUCUGAAUAGUUUGGAUGACAAUCUCUACGACAUUUAUUCUCCGUGCAAGACAGCGAAUGAGUUGUGGGAAUCCUUGGAGAAAAAGUAUAAGAUUCAUGAUGCCGGUUCAAAGAAAUUUGUUAUCGGUAAGUUUCUCAAAUAUACAAUGGUGGAUUCCAAAUCUGUUGUUUCUCAAGUCGAAGAAAUCCAGAAAUUGAUCUAUGAACUGCACUCCGAGGGAUGCGAGAUCAAUGAGCAUUUCCAAGUUGGGGCGAUAAUUGAAAAAUUGCCAACUUCGUGGAAUGACUUCAAAAUUUAUCUCAAGCACAAGCGUCGUGAGAUGAAUAUGGAGGAUUUGAUCAUGAGGCUACGAGUGGAAGAAGACCACAGAAAGGCUGAUCAUUCUGAAGGGUUUACUGCCAUUGAAGCCAAUGCAAAUUAUGUUGAGGGAGGAAACUCCAAGGCCAAGCCGAAGAAGAAUAAGGCUCUGAAAACCAAGCAGUUUGUACAAUCUGCCCUUGCUCCCAAAGGCAAGAAUCUGAAGAAGAUUAAGGGCGCAUGCUAUGUGUGUGGCAAAUCUGGUCACAAGGCACAAGAUUGUUAUCAUCGUAAGGAUGGAAAUCAUGUCAACGGAAACAACAACAACCAUGCUAACAUGGCAACCACCAAUGGAGAAUUGGCUGCUGUUAUGUCCGAGGUCAACAUGGUCUCAAAUGUCAGUGAAUGGCUGUUAGAUACUGGUGCUACUAAGCACAUCUGCACUGACAAAAAUCUAUUCACUGAAUACCAUCUUGCUACCCAUGGAGAAAAGCUGUAUAUGGGCAAUUCUGCCUUAUCUGCGGUGGAGGGCAAAGGCAAAGUGGUACUCAAAUUCACAUCUGGAAAGAGUCUCACCUUGCUGAAUGUGCUGCAUGUUCCUGAAAUAAGGAGGAACUUGGUUUCUGGACCUAUUCUAAUUACUAAGGGCUUUAAACUUGUAAUGGAAUCCAACAAAUUCGUACUUACCAAGGGUGGGAUGUUUGUUGGAAAGAGUUAUGUGGCUGAUGGCCUCGUGAAACUCAAUGUAAUUGCCAUUGAUGAUACUAAUAAAAUAAAUGCUUCUACUUAUAUUGUUGAGUCUUCUAAUAUUUGGCAUGCUAGAUUAGGACAUGUUAAUUUUCGUUCCAUACAUAGAAUGGUUAAAUUAGACUUAUUACCUAAAUUCAAAAUUGAUUUUAAUCAUAAGUGUGAAACAUGUAUUGAAUCGAAAUUUGCUAAGCAAACGAGAAAGUCAAUUCUGGAAAGAUCAAAUGAAUUACUUGGAUUAAUUCAUAGUGAUCUUUGUGACUUUAAAUCCACACCAACUCGUGGAGGAAAGAAUUAUUAUGUCAAUUUUAUUGAUGAUUGCAGUAAGUAUUGCUAUGUUUAUUUGAUUCAUAGCGAUGACGAAGCUUUGAAUAUGUUUAAGACAUAUAAAGCAGAAGUUGAAAAUCAACUAGAGAGAAAAAUCAAAGCACUUAGAUCCGAUAGAGGAGGAGAGUAUGAGUCUACUGCCUUCUCAAAUUUUUGUGCACAACAUGGAAUUAUACAUCAAACAACGACUCCAUACACACCACAACAAAAUGGUGUUUCCGAAAGAAAAAAUAGAACAUUCAAAGAUAUGAUUAAUUCCAUGUUAAAUAGUUCAGGGCUUCCACAUAGUUUGUGGGUGAAGCUUUACUUACUGCAAAUACCAUAUUGAAUAAGGUUCCUCUAAAGAAGAUUGACGAGUCACCUUAUGAACUAUGGAAAGGACAUAGACCACUUAUAAAACCCUCAAAGUGUGGGGUUGCUUAGCAAAGGUGCAAGUUCCGUUACCAAAAAGAACGAAACUAGGACCUAAAACUAUUGAUUGUGUAUUCAUUGGAUAUGCAAAUAAUAGUGCUGCUUAUAGGUUCCUUGUUGUAAAAUCUUCGAUUUCUGACAUACAUGUCAACACUAUAUUAGAAUUAGCGGAUGCGGAAUUCUUUGAGGAUAUAUUUCCUUACAAAGAAAAGGAAUCUAGUUCUAAUACAAAGAGGGUUCAUGAUCAUAGUCAUGAUGAAGCCUCUUCUUCUGGUGUCCAAGGAAAUGAUGUGGAACCAAGAAGAGGAAAAAGAAUCAAAGUUUCUAAAAACUUUGGACCAUAUUUCAUUGCUUUCUUGUCGGAGAAUGAACCUAGAACUUUUAAAGAAGCAAUGUCUUCUUCUGAGGCUUCUUUAUGGAAGGAAGCAAUUAAAAGUAAAAUGGAAUCCAUUAUGGAAAAUAACACAUGGGAAUUGGUUGAUUUACUUCCCGGUAGUAAACCAAUUGGCCAUAAAUGGAUUUUCAAGAAGAAACUUAAGGCGGAUGGAACCAUUGAUAAGUUCAAAGCACGUUUAGUAGCCAAAGGUUAUCGCCAAAAAGAAGGGUUGGAUUAUUUCGACACCUAUUCUCUAGUUUCUCGCAUAACGUCAAUUAGGACGUUAAUAGCGAUUGCGGCUGUAUACAACUUUGAUAUACAUCAAAUGGAUGUAAAAACAGCAUUUUUAAAUGGAGAACUAGAUGAAGAAAUAUACAUGGAACAACCUGAAUGGUUUGUGCUUAAAGGACAAGAAAGCAAAGUGUGCAAAUUAGUUAAGUCAUUAUAUGGACUUAAACAAGCACCAAAACAAUGGCACGAGAAAUUUGAUCAUACUUUGUUGACACAUGGGUUCAAAAUAAAUGAAUCUGAUAAAUGUGUCUACAUUAAGAGUAAUGAUAAAACUUCUGUUAUUGUCUGCUUGUAUGUGGAUGAUAUGCUCAUAAUGGGAAGCGAUAAAGAUGUAAUAAACAAAACAAAGAAAAUAUUGAAUUCAAGUUUUGACAUGAAAGACUUAGGUCAAGCCGAUGUCAUUUUAGGAAUUCAAAUUAAGAGAAAUAGUGAAGGAUAUGUCCUUACACAAUCCCAUUAUGCAGAAAAAAUAGUACAAAGGUUUGGUCAGUUUGACUGCAAACCAGCUGCAACUCCUUUUGAUGUUGGAUGCAAGUUGGAGAAAAAUAAAGGCGAUGCCAUAUCUCAACUUGAAUAUUCUCAAGUAAUUGGAAGUCUCAUGCACUUGAUGAAUUCAACUAGGCCCGAAUUAGCUUAUGCAGUAAGUAGGCUUAGUAGAUAUACAAGUAAUCCGACAUAAGAGCAUUGGGAUGCUUUAGUACGAGUGUUAAGGUAUUUGAAAAAUACACUUGACUACUGAUUACACUACAUUACACUACACAAAAUAUCCACCUGUUGUAGAAGGCUUCAGUGAUACCAAUUGGAUUCUGACACUACAGAAUCCAAGUCGACAAGUGGAUAUGUUUUUACCUUGGGAGGUGCAGCAAUAUCUUGGAAAUCCUCUAAAUAGAAAUGUAUAGCUCGGUCCACCAUGGAGUCCAAGUUUAUAGCUUUAGACUUGGCUGGCGAAGAAGCCGAAUGGCUCAAAAAUUUUCUGGAGGAUAUUCCAAUGUGGCCAAAGCCGGUAACGACUAUAUGUAUACAUUGUGAUGGUAUGGCCGUGCAAUUAAGGGCCAAAAGUCAUGUAUACAAUGGGAAGUCACGUCACAUCAGACGUCGACAUAAUACUCUUAAAAAGUUGCUCUCCAAUGGAAUAAUAUCCAUUGAUUAUGUAAAGUCAAAGGAAAAUAUAGUUGAUCCUUUGACAAAAGGCAUACCAAGAGAGCAAAUAUUAUUUACAUCGAGGGGAGUGGGUCUUAAGCCAAUUCAAUGAAUCGAACUGGGCGGAAACCUAACCUAGCUGAUUGGAGAUCUCAUGGUCUAGGUUCAAUAGGCAAACUGGUUGAGUUUGAUUCAAAAGUUGAACACACAACUUACCCAUUCUUAUGAUAAAAUGUGUGUUGUCUGUUAACGUUUGAGGGAUUAUGUUUUAUACACUUAAUGACAUUAAUAUCUUGUUAUCAAGAGGAAUAUGACAGACUAUUCUUAAUUAAUGUCACCUAUAUAGGAGUAAAUGGGGCCACAUUUAUGAGAAUUGACAUGGCUAAAUUCUCUAAAACUCCUACGAAAUCUGGGAUCUGUUCAGGGCCAAAAUGAACACAACCAUAUGAAUUUACGUGUGGCAGACAUGAUAUGUGUGUAGUAAUUGUCUCAGUUUACUACUGCGGUGGACAAUUCAAGAUCUUCCACAUCCACUGCGUCACCAAGUAAACCCGAUAUGUUUGCACUAGGGUAAGUUCAAGUCCAAAAAACGCUUCACUCGAUGCAAAUCAUGUCCAUUCUCUCUCAGUUUUAGGCAGACUAGUCAUCCAUUUGCAUUUACAUUUGCAUUCAAAUGUGGGGUAAUUGUUGGAGUUUGAAUGAAAUUUCAACUCAAAUGUGGGUAUUGUUGGAAAUUUGAAUAGUUUGAGUAGAAAUUUCUUUGUCCCACAUUGGUCAUUUCCAAAAGAUUUUAUCACUUUAUAAGGCUUUGUCUUUUAUAGAAAGUGAUUCGAGUAAUAGGCCUGGAGAAUAAAAUUUGGCUCAUCCUUGGGGUUGGGCUUUGGGGUGCACUAAUUAAUUGGUAAUUAAUUAUAAUUAAUAUAUAAUUAAUUAUCAAAAGAUGGGCCUUGGGCCUUAGGGCUCGGGCUCUAAUAAUUUAAUUAAUUAAUUAAUUAUUUUUGGAUUUAAUUAAUUAUUUUUAAUUAAUUUUGAAUUUAAUUAAUUAUUUGUUUUUUUACCAACAGACUCAUCCUUUCAGAUGAAGUCUGAAGAGUUUAGAAAGAACACAGAACAAAGCACCACCCUGAAGAAGAUGUCUCCUAACAGACACAUCCCAUUCUCAUACCUAUUACGAACAUGCAUCCUUCUAUCAUAUAUACAUCUAUUUGCAUGGCAUUUAAGACACACAAAAAAAUCAAUAUUCUUCUUCUACAAUCUCAAACAUCCUUUCUGAGAGAACCACACAGAAGUUCGCCAGAAGUUAAGUUUUCCGGUGCUGGAAUUCUAACUUGAUCGUUGAAUCCUGGUGAAGCAGACUUCUGUAGAACUACAAGCACUGAGUAGGGACAAAUUUAUGUUUCAAGGACAUUGUGGUACGCAAGUCUAGAUCUUCAAUCUUUCUGUUUUAAAUUAUUUCGUUGUUCAUACUCUGUUCAAUAUUUAUUCGUAUUUAUUAUUUAUUAGCAUAUAUAAAAUUAUCACAGAUUGUUGACAUAUAUCCAACAUAUGAUUGUCAGUAGGACAAACAACCAAGAGUUUCAAUAUGAAACAUUAAGAUGAAUUGAUGUAUCGAUUCUUAAGGGGACCAAGUGCAGGAUGUGAGAAAUUAUACAUCUACAGACACAUUUUACACAAAUUUUGCAUCUUGUAUGUGUUAGUUUUGUGAAUGGAAUUAUGGGGAUAUUGUUCGACAAAUUGAACAUGUUACCAUUUAGUUCUUCAUGAAUACUAAUUAAUGACCUGAACUUGUAUUCGUGAUUCAAGUUGGUGUUGAUCUCCUGGCCAUUUAAGAAUAACUUCACAUAAGGCUAGCUACUGUUGAAUCAAGCGUUAACUCUAGUGGGAGAAUGUAAGUUCUAACGAGAGCUGAACACUUGAUCAUCUUUAGUUUGGAGAUGUGAGGAUAUAAGAGAUUGGAAUUAACUGAGGUUGUAAGCUAAUAAGGAAUUUGUAUAAUAGAGGUUUCAGCUAAAACAGUCAUGAUAGUGUUGAAACACUAAUAAUGGAUGGGAAUGAUAGGUUUUCUCGGUGAUAAGGUUAGAUUGAUUAGGAUUGUAUAAUGGGAAGAGCCUUUAUCAAUCAUCAUCGUAUGCAGUAUAAAAAAGGGGUCCAUGCGCUCUCUCAAUCACGCAAACUAAAGAAUACUCAGAUCUCAUUCAUUGAGCGUGAGGAGAGCUGCAGAAGAUCCCUAGUUUCCAAGAGAUGUCUUCUUCAGGUUAGUGGUUACUUUUGUACUGUGAUUAUUCUAUUCCGCUGACUUUGUUUAUAUUGAUCUUACAGUUGUUACCAGAGCUUUAUGUGGGCUAUUCUUGGUACAGUUUUCGGUUCUGAUUCAUUAAAGUUGCAGCUGGUUGUUUCGCCUGGAUCACAGUUAGUUCUGCUAUUGCCAGAUCUAUUAUAGCAGAGGGCGACUUGG
Molecule: long non-coding RNA, 52152 nt
Filed under: Malus domestica (apple)
Lineage: Eukaryota; Viridiplantae; Streptophyta; Magnoliopsida; Rosales; Rosaceae
Description: long non-coding RNA (MDOM_LNC014634)
Source: RNAcentral